UUUUUUUUUUUUUUUUUUUGUUUUGGCUCGGGUGGUUUCGAUUAUUUAUGUUUUCUUUUAAGGCCUUCUGUUGGUGCGAUAUAUGUCCAAAUGAGCAAGAACGAAAGAGUAUCUAAUUCGGUAGGAAUAUAUGUCUAUGCAUACCCCCCGAUUGAUGUUUUAUUUUUAUUUUUAUAAUUCUUGUAUCUUCUGGGGGUUGCAAGGGAACGUUCGUUAACGCAUGAAAAAUGUAUUCAAUAUUUAUUAUACAUUGUCCUUUUUCAUGUUGUAUUACAUCAUAUCUGAUAGCCGUAUUACUCUUUUACUAUUACGACGUGACCAUAUAUAUUUUGACAAUAGUUGAUAACAAAUACAUACUGUAUGUUGCUGCUUUAUGUUGAGGAAAUGGGCCUGAUUGGGUCUCUCACUAAACCAACUCAAUGUCAAACUGGAUCAGAUCUGCGCUGUCAUAUUAUCGGGCCGUUGAGAUUAUGCAUGUGGUACCAAUUAGCUCGUUUGUUAUACCAUUAACAUCAUCACACAGUUUUCAUUGAAUUCAAUCAUAAACGAUACUAUUACUUUCUCGCGCUUUUUCUUGCGGAACAACAUUUUUAAUGGCCAGAGGAACAUCAUAGAACAUAACAGAUGAUAGAUCAUAUUACCAAAGAAAAUAACUUCAUUAACUGUGAAGUAAAUAAAGAAUCAAAUGCAUUUAAGAACAAAUCCACAAACCAAAAUCAAAACUCCUAUCAGUAAUCCAUUUCAACAAAGUGAAAAUUUACAGAAUCAGUAAGCUUCUCUGUCAAUGUUCAUGUUCCACGCCGCCACCCAGAAGCUUUUAAUUUCAUUCUCAGCUGGUUUUAGCUAUAUGAACAAAAAAAUGUUUGUGUCUAAAAGAGGAAGAAGCAUAAAUAAAAAGCUUUUCCAAAUCAUUUCACUUCAUUUGUUUGAGAAUUCCACCUAAAUUUUCAUACUUUUGUUCACAAUUGGAGAAAAAGACGAAAAGUUAAUAAUAAUACAAAUAGGAGAGGAGGAGUACAAAUAGGAGAGGAGGAGCAUCACUACUAUUUCAUUUUUUUCAGCCAAUCAGAAGGCUCUAUUUCAUACCCACUCGCACCAAUUCCUGUAGGCUAUAACCCCCAAAAUCGUGGCUAUUUGAUUCAACGCACUUAUUUCUGAAAAUCCCAUCGCGUGACUUUUUUUUUUUUUUUUAACUCAAAACCUUAUUUGAUUUCCAAUGUAAACCGAACCAAGAUUAAUCGUAAUUUCAAAACCAUGUCAACCGAACCAAAAUCAAUUGUAAAUAUAAAACCGACCAAAAUUAAUUGAUUCAUGUCACUCGAAGUUGCAUAACUUAAGAAAAAAAUAUGCAGAACAGAGAGAAAGAUACACUGCAUCUCGUUAUGCUCUGUGUUAACACAUAUAAAACCCAUUUCGAUCAAAAUCUUUUUUAACAGUUAUCAUCGCAUGGGAGCAAGUCAGUGUAGAGCUCUCCAUAGAAUCUAGUCACAAGAUACAAUAUAGGGCUAUUCAGUUUUUCUAUACAUAUAUAUUUUAUAGCUGUAUUCUAUAUAAGACCCUUUUAUGAUAUUUUACUUGCAUAAAAAAAAAAGAAGUACAUUACUAUUUUGUUCUACCUGAAGCUACUUAAAAAAAUUAAUAGUCUAGGUAAUGAUAUUCAAUUAUGAACAUAAAAAAAGUGAUUAAGAUCUCAAGCAAUCUAUAAAACCAUACAAAACACCUUACUUAUUUCUUCGUCGAAAUCACUUUGUUAAUUUGUGAUCAAAUGAUUCACAAAAAUCACCUAACUGGAGAUUUAUAGAGAUGAAAUGCAUUUCAGACUUUUUUAUUGGAGGUUUAUAAAGAUCCCACAAAUGAACAUGAACCGACCAAAAAAGUAUACCAUUUCAAACUUGGUGACAAAUUGUUGUAGAUGGAGAAUUUGUCGGCCAAGAAUGAUAUACUCAUAAAUCAUUGAUUGAGAGCAACAAGAAUGUAUGAAAGUGUUGUAUUAUAUCAAAAUCUAGAGUAGACUAAUUUGUUGUUUUGGUCUUACCCACUUUGUCUUGGUAAAGUAACUAAAGUAGAGACUUACUCAACUCUCUCUUCUUGUUGUUACCAAAGAAAAAAAAAACAAAACAAAGAUGUCUUUUGUCUGACUCCAUAAUCACACCAUCACCAAGAAGAAGAUCUAGGUCUCGCAUCUCCCUCUAUCUCUCUCAUUACAAUGGAACGAGCACGAACCGAAAGCCCUAGCUACUUCCGUCAAUGGAGCGGUGAGUCUGGCGCCACCAAUGCCGCCGUAGCUCCUUCUUCUCCGGCGCGUCAUCACCAUGCUCGAUCUUCUUCCGUCACUACUAUGUCUAACGUCAAACGAGCUCAAAACGUCGCUGCUAAAGCUGCUGCUCAGAGGCUUGCUAAGGUCAUGGCUUCACAGACCAACAAUGAUGAUGACGACGAUGAUGAUGAUGAAGUCGGUGGUGAUGAUCUAGGUUUCCGAUAUGGUGCUCCUCCUCCUCUCUCAUUCACUAGAAAUGCUUCUUCCACAGUUGCUAAACCUAAACCUUCUGCUUCUGCUGUCGUUCCUCCUCCCAAGAUCGCUAGAUCUUCCUCCCCUGCGGUAAAUUUGAAUCCUUUUUUGGCUUUAGUAGAAACCAAAUCCACUCAGUUUACCAAAUUUGAUUACUUUCAAUCAUAGAGAUUUAAGGGAAUUGGUUUUUAGUUUCUAAUUUUGGAAAAUGUGGGAUUUUGAUUGUAAGAUUUGGGAAUGUAGUAGUAAGGGAAAACUAUUUAUGGGAUGUUCUAAUCGGACAAACUGUUGGUGAUUGACUGAUUGUGAAUUUUUCUCAGUUAUCUCGGAACUCUCCAGCCGUAUCUGUUCGUGCAUCGCAACCGCCUGUCGUGCCGAGUAAACUGGCUCAAAGGAAUCAAACUGCCCAUUCAUUACCAGUUGUAACUCCUAAGAAUCAUCAGAGUGAAAAGAGGUGAGAAUUGAGUUCCCAAAAUAUAUCUUGGUCUUACAACUAGCUGAGUUUGUUGUAUUCAUGACUUGGAAUUGUUUGUCAUUGCAGGGUCUUAGCUGAUAUUGGUCAUCUUAAUGGAAAAGAUUCGAAAGACCAGCAUGAAGCAUCCGCGCUUCGUGAUGAAGUAUAUGCUAAUUCCUUUCUUUGUUUUCAUAUGUGUUAAUAUUUUUAUUUCCUAGAUGGAAACUGACAGUUACAUUACAUCACAGCUCGAUAUGCUGCAAGAGGAAAAUGAGAGUAUUCUUGAAAAGGUAGAAAGUCUUUUCUUUUAGGUUUCCAUCUAUUUCAGAGUAGUUUGAUUAUAUGUUUGAGCUUAUGAACAGCUUAGGCUUGAGGAUGAGAGAUGCAAGGAAGCGGAAGCUAGGGUGAGAGAGCUUGAAAAACAGGUAAUUUGGACCAAUUAUGUACUUGCUGUAUGCAUAACUUUUUGGUUUUUAAAUACUGUCUCACCUUUGACUCAAACUUUAGGUGACUUCUUUGGGGGAAGGUGUAUCCUUGGAAGCUAAACUUCUUAGCCGGUAGUCAAUAUCAAUACAAUUGGUUGCUAGGUUUUUCGUUUUUUCCUACUGGGUUGAAAUGCUUACACGAAUGUGUUUUGUUACAUGCUGCAGAAAAGAAGCUGCUUUGCGUCAAAGAGAGGUAUUCCAAAGUCUGAGGUUCCUCAAGUUUUAGUAUUAUGUGGUGAUUUUGUUUCCAAGUAUGAAGAUUUUGUUCUGGCUUUUUAGAUUCACCAAUUCUCACUCUAUGACAGGCGGCCCUUAAAGAGGCAAGGCAGAAUAGAGAAGGGACUAAUAAAGAGACUACUGCUCUUCGGUCUCAAGUUGAGGUAGGCCCUAUUUCCUGUCCAUGUGUCACAUGUUCUAUGAGUUGAAAAUAAGUCAAAGUAAAGAAAUCCUGUAUUUUCUGUAUUUCACUUUGAUUCAGAAUGCAAAACUUGAGACGGCUGCUAUAGUAGCACGAGUUCAAGGAGCAGAAUCUGAAGUCAACGCUCUACGGACGAUGACACAUAGAAUGAUAUUGACCCAAAAAGAGAUGGUUCGUGUUCAUGUUUUUGCGCAGUCUACAUAUAAGGUUAUGGUAGUGUUUAUGUAAGACACCCUUGUAUAAUUUCAGGAGGAAGUUGUUCUUAAGCGAUGCUGGCUUGCUCGAUAUUGGGGUUUAGCUACCAGAUAUGGUAGGGGGUAACAAGCUUAUCUGCUUAAUGACAUAACUAGAACUUUUAUGCCAUCAUGUAACUUUGCUUCUAGACAUCUGUGCAUAUUUGUAUUUCAGGCAUAUGUUCGGAUAUUGCUACAUCAAAAUAUGAAUACUGGUCAUCUCUGGCACCUCUUCCUUUUGAGAUUGUGCUGUCAGCUGGGCAGAAGGCUAAAGAAGAAAGUUGGGAAAAAGGCAAGCAAUCACUCAAUCAUGUUUCUAAGAUAUCUAUUGUGAUAACUUUCUAUAAUUUUGAUUCUCACUUCUCAUAUUCUUUCGUAUAUUUAUCUGUUGGCUAUGAAAAUAUCUGACCAGAUUCUGAGGAGAACGAGAAGAGGAGCCAGCUUGUUCAAGAUAUAAAUGAUCUAACAGGAGAGGGAAAUAUUGAAAGUAUGCUCUCUGUGGAAAUGGGUUUAAAAGAACUAACUUCUUUGAAGGUUUAUUCUCAUUAUCUCUCACUCUGGUUCAUGUGCCCUCUUUCAUUUUUCUCAUAGACUAUGUCUGUUCUUUUGAAGGUUGAAGUUGCCAUUACUAUUACAUUAGCCCAGCUAAGGUUGGCCAAUUCUACUCGACUGUCUGAUAUCGGUGAGCUUCUUCUUGAUGCCAAUAAUUUAUGUUGCUCUUGCAUUAGCUGAAAAAGGCGACUUUAGCCAGGCUUCUAAUUCCACUAUCGAGACUGUUAAGAUAAUAUUGUACAUGUUUUACCUAUGUUUUGUGUCGCAUUUUAAAUGCUAUGCUUCUUGGCAGUUGAUUUAUUUUCUGCUUGUCUUAUGUCAGAGUUAAAAUCACCAGGUGGUCCUAAGAUUAUGGAGGCACUUGGUAAGUUCAUUUAGCUACUUAUAUCGCUGAAUAUCUGGCUCAAAAUCUUGGUGUUAUGAAAUUAAAUAUAUCGUGUGAAUCAUAAUCCACCGAGUUAUAAUGACAAACCCUUGUUAUUCUUGAGGAUAAUUCAUAUAAGCAUGAAAAAUAUAACUUGAGUGUCAGUUUUUUAUGUUCACAUUUCAUAUACUGCCUCAACAAAGAGUGCAGACAAUACUUGUUAUUCUUGAGGAUAAUUCUGAAUUUGGUCUGUGGCCCUUUGCAGAAUUGACUCCAGAAGAGUCUGAGGAUGUUCUCUUCAAGGAGGUACACAACUAUAAGCCUUUUCUUGCUUUCUAUCAUUGGCUUUUCUUUCAUCUGAUCCUGCCCCUUUUGUACUGAAUUCUGUCGUUUAUGUAUAUUCUAUUGGAGACUCUUCUGGAGUCAAUCGUGGCCUUUCUACAUUCUCAACAUAAAUCCUUUGGAAUUUUUGGCAGGCUUGGCUCACGUACUUCUGGAGAAGAGCAGAAUCUGUUGGCAUAGAAGUGGACAUUGCGAGAGAACGUCUUAGAUUCUGGAUCGGCAGGAGCGCACACUCCCCAUCUUCACAUGACGCUAUUGAAGGUACAACCUAACAUACCAAAUUCCUUUCAGCCAGGAGAGGAGUACCCAUAAGACGAUUACUAAAUUGGUUUGUUCUAAUUUUCAGUUGAGCAAGGACUAACAGAGCUAAGAAAGCUGCGGAUAGAACGUAGAUUGUGGGAAGCCUCCAGGUCCAGCCAGUAAGUAGUGACCUUGGGAUCCCAGAGCAGUCAUGUUACCUCAGCUUUAACAGUACUGUAUAUCAUACAUGCUUUCUUCUGUGUGGUUCGAGUACUUUGCAGUCAGGAAAUGUUAAUCCAGUUUUGCAAACCUAAGUAUUGUAUUACACAUACUACUUUUGACAUAUAAUAUAUCCACGUUUUCACGCUCUUACCAUCAACUUGCAGACUCAUACUUGUUGGAUUAUCCAAAUGUAAAGUAUAUACUGAUACAGACACUAAAGACCACCAGUCACCAGUAAUCGUUACAAGAACACUUUCCCUCCUUGAAAUGGUGGAACCUUCUGGAAUCUCGGAUGACGAUUUCAUGUCCUGUAACCAAAGAUACAUGCUUUGUAAACUCAUGACAAUCUGGGCAUGCCCGAAGAUUCUUGAACACCUUAAUCGGUGUACGGGCAUUGCCAUUCACCGAUAUCAGCCCAAAUGCGAUGGCAAGUCUCUCGCUGUGAUCAAGAAGCUGCUCUCUUCUCUCUAUCAUACUACACUGAAACACAUCACCUUCCAUGAAACCGUCAAACUCCUUAAGCUUCUCAUAGAUCUCCCGAGUUUGUGGAUGGUGUUUAUCACCCACUAUAAAACGAUGAAUCUUACCUUUUUCUUGGAUCCAGCUGCAGCUCAGUUCCUUCUUUAACAUUUUCUCCUUCAUUAGUUUCAUCAUUUCAGCAGCUUCUUCCCAUUUUCCAGCCCAGGUAAAAAGAUUAAAUGGUAGCACAUAUCCAGCUGUAUCUUCUGGAUCCACUUGGCGAAGUUCCUCACCAGCAAUCUUGCCCAGUUCAAGAUUCUUAUGAGUCCAACAGCCACUUAGAAAGCAUUUCCAGCUCAUUGCAUCAGGUUCAAAAGGCAUAUUCUUCAUAAAUUUGAGAGCUUCGUCCAAUAGGCCUGCUCGGGCAUAAAUGUCGAUCAUACAAUCAUAAUGGUCGAUAGUCGGAGCCACAUUAUAUUUUCGAAGCAUUGUGUCCAAGUAAUGCUUUCCCUGUUCAACAAGGCCUGCAUGGCUGCAGGCGGUUAAAACUGCAAUAAAGGUAAUUGAGUUUGGCUUCAUACCACAACUCACCAUUUUCUCAAACAAUCUCAGAGCUUCAGAGGCAUUUCCAUAGUAAGCAUGACCUGAUAGGAAAGCCGUCCAAGCAACAAUGUCAGGGUUGUCCAUUGACUCAAAGACUUCAUGUGCAUCAUCUAAGCAUCCACAUUUCGAAUACAUCGUAAUAAGAGCGCUUUCUCCAUACUGAGAUCCAAUCAGACUUCUUUUUAUAGCAUCUGCAUGGACUUGGCCACCAAUGUUGCAAUCUGCAAGUACUGAACAUGCUUGGAAUAUGCUAGUAUAUGUGAACGAAUUUAGAACCGCUGCAUUUUUGCUUCUCAACGACUUGAAGGUUUUAACAGCCUCCUCAAAUUGACUCAUUUGGCAGUAUCCAGAAAUGAUUGCACUCCAGGUAACAUCAUUUGGCUCACUGAUUUCUUGGAAUGCGCAGCAAGCAGACUCGAAGCUGGAACAUUUGAUGUAAAAAUCGACGAGUGGAGUUCCAACCGAGACUUCAGAUUCCAGUCCAAGCUUAGCGACACAUGCAUGAAUUUGCUUGCCAAGUUUAAGCUCUUCAAGAGAAGCACAUGCUUUAAGAACAACUGAAAACACAAAACUGUCCCAUUCAACACCUUCGAUCACCAACUCCACAAAUAGUUUCAAAGCAUCUCUUGCUCUUCCAGCUUGAGUAUAACCUACCAUCAAUCCUGUCCAAGCCACUGGUUUCUUCUGCGCCAUCUGAUCGAAUACUCGCUUAGCACCCACUAACCAACCACAUUUUACGUACAUGUUUAAGAUCCCAAUCUCUAUAGAUGUGUUGUUACAUAACCCAGCACGCAUAACAUGAGCAUGAAUCUGUCUACCAACGUCUAAAGCCUCAGGAUUUAUCAAAGAUUUCAAGAGUGUAGUAUACAUGGAAGAAGGAGGCUCGUCGCCCGACGCUAGCAUUCCUGAGAACAAACCAACAGCUUUAUCUAAAAGACCUCGUUCGGCGUAAGCAGAUACCAUCGUAACUCUCGAGACUGCAUUCAAGUCAGGCAUUUCAUCGAACAGUUUAUCUGCAUCUUCCAAGCUCCCGCACUCACAGUACAUCUGUAACACACAGUUCUGAAGAAGCAGGGAAGGAUUCUCGAAAGCCAUCCGCAUGCGAUCGUGUAAGAGUCUCCCAUGAGAUAAAGACCUCAAAUUUCUGCAAGCCUCAAAGAGACACUGGUACGAGUACGGGCUAACGGAGACGCCAGCCUUAUCCAUUUCCUGGAAAAACGCAAAUGCUUCGUUAAGCUUCCCAUGUUUCGACAACGAAACCAAAUGAAGAUUCUCGACUUGGCCUUGCUUAUGCUCGAUUUUAAGGGAUGAAGAAGAAGUGCUCGAUUUCAGAGAAACCCACGACGGGAUUUGAUCGAAAUUCGAGUUCUUCAUAGCCGGAACUCGAGAUGGGAUAUACGAAGACUGUACAGUGAGAAUCGUCAUCGUUGAUUGAUAAAUUCACAAAAAAAUGUUUAUACUUUAUAGCUUUUCUUCGAGAACUCACAAACGAAAGAGAAGCUAAAAAAAUCUUACUUAGUAAUUGCAACAACCAAACGGGUCAAAUCAAUGGUUAGUUGCCAAAAACGACAGCGUUUGAUACAGGGACUGAAGGAGAGGGUUCAAAGUAGUUUUCCAUCUUUGGCGUCUCUCAUCAAUGACUGAAAUCGAGCCGUACGAUUUCUCUCCUCUUCUUGCUUUAAAAACCUAUCAAUAAUUUAUUCUUCUCGGCCUUCUUCUUCUCGUUCCUCCUCUUCUCCAAUGGCGGCUACUAGGGUUCGUUGUUGUCACAGCAAUGCACCCUUCACAAGAUUGCCGCUUACCCGCCACCGAAACUCGCCGACGCUACCGAUUUCUCCGAGUCGUGUCGAUUUCUCGGCGCUAAAGGGCUCAAAGAAAUUGUCAUUGCCCAUAGGGGAUGGCUCUUCCAUUAGAAGGGUUUCAGUUUCAGGCUGCAGAAACACUAUACGAGCUGUAUUGGAUGAGAAGAAGACAGACGCGAUAACGGAGGUAGAUGAGAAGGGUAUCACGUGCGUGAUGAAGUUUGGUGGAUCUUCGGUGGCAUCUGCAGAGAGAAUGAGGGAAGUUGCGGGUUUGAUUUUGACUUUUCCGGAAGAAAGUCCCGUCAUUGUUCUCUCUGCUAUGGGGAAAACUACCAACAAUCUUUUGCUUGUAAUGCUGAAAUGCUCUCCCUUUCUCUGUUUUUUAUUCAAAUGUUUCAAGUUUUUGAUUUGAACUUCUGAUUUUGUUGCUAGUGAAGGCGGGAGAGAAGGCUGUGAGUUGUGGUGUUUCUAAUGCAUCUGAGAUUGAGGAGUUGAGCAUUAUAAAGGACUUGCAUCUCAGGUUUUGGCUUUGUUGAAUAUUUGAUAACCUUAGAUCUCCUUUCCGUGCUUGCUGUUGGUUUUGGUUUUGAUCAAGAAUAUGUGUUUUUUUUUUGUGUUGUUUCAGGACAGUGAAAGAGCUCGACAUCGAACCCACUGAUAUCUUGUGUAAGUAUUAUACCUUCCAACACAUGUAGUUUCAUUCUUGCUAUUUUUGAGUUGGCUCAUUAAUGUUUGAUUUAUGAUGUGUUUGGUAAUAUUCACGAAUCUAUAUGCAUUGCUCUUUGUAAUUUUUGGAUACAUUUUGCAGCCUAUUUGGAAGAACUGGAGCAACUCCUGAAAGGCAUAGCCAUGAUGAAGGAGUUGACACUUCGAACCAGAGACUACCUAGUCUCUUUUGGAGAGUGCUUGUCUACAAGGAUUUUCGCUGCUUAUCUUAAUAAAAUCGGUGUCAAGGCACGCCAAGUAUGUCCAUUACCAUAUUUAAGUUCUAGUAUUUUUAAAAAAAUAAAUAUCUCAUUUGGUUGACUAAUUAGUUCAACUGAUAUCUUGGUAAAUUAACCUAGAAGUGCUGAAUCCAGAUUUCAGUUUGGGUUUAGUUUUGGUUUAGAAAAUAUGAUAACCAAGUUGAAAGUGUAUACUCUUUGAACUGGUCAGUGAAAUUUUGUAUUAGUUUGGUUUUUGUUGUCAAAGAACACAUAUUGGUGUAGUUUAUCUUUUGUUUGCUACACUUGCCUUGGUUUGAGUUUUCUUGCACAUGCAUUUUGGCGACUCUAGUUAACAUCUUGUUGAGAUGUUCAUAUAUCAUUAAUUACGUUGCAGUACGAUGCAUUUGAUAUUGGAUUCAUUACAACGGAUGAUUUCACAAAUGGGGAUAUACUGGAAGCAACUUAUCCAGCUGUUGCCAAGAGAUUAUAUGAAGAUUGGAUGCAUGAUCCUGCCAUUCCUAUUGUAACAGGUUUCCUUGGGAAGGUAUUUCUAACAGUUUAUAAUCUACUGAUAAUUAGGAUUUUCAUUUAUGCUUUCGUGGCUUGCCUCAUUAUUUCAUUCAAUAAUAGGGUUGGAAAACUGGUGCGGUUACUACCUUGGGUAGGGGUGGCAGUGAUUUGACGGCAACUACGAUUGGUAAAGCAUUGGGUUUGAAAGAGAUUCAGGUUCGUCUACAACCUAAAAAGAUUAAUUUUUCGUUUUAGACGUUGUGGAUAUCUCUGUUCAGUUUGGAUUUUUGUUUUCCAUUUCGCAGGUGUGGAAAGAUGUUGAUGGUGUUCUAACAUGUGACCCUACUAUCUAUAAAAGAGCUACACCAGUACCAUAUCUGACAUUCGACGAAGCAGCCGAGCUAGCUUAUUUUGGUGCACAGGUCCCACUCUACUUGUAUGCAAUAAUACUGAAUUCCAGUUAUUAGAACUAUCACAUGAAUAUUUUGUACAAUGGCAAUGCUUAAGUAAAGAAAUAAAAUUGUUGUUGCAGGUCUUGCACCCACAAUCAAUGAGACCAGCAAGAGAGGGUGAGAUUCCUGUAAGGGUUAAGAAUUCUUAUAACCCUAAAGCUCCUGGAACAAUCAUCACUAAAACAAGAGACAUGACUAAGGUAUAAGUGUCCUAAUUUGUGUUCUCUUUAUGCAGAUGUGAGAACCUUUAUAGAAAACCAAAAUUUAUACUUCUUCAUGUGACAGACAAUUUUAACGAGCAUUGUCCUGAAACGAAAUGUGACCAUGUUGGAUAUAGCAAGCACGCGAAUGCUUGGUCAGGUUGGCUUCCUUGCGAAGGUAAAACUGUACAUCUUAAUGUUUCAGAAGUGCAUUCUCGAGAACUCUUUUAUUGGGGCAAGGUCCGAACUGUGGUAUGCUCCAGGUUACUAUUUUAUAGGUUCUGUGGUAACCAAAAUAGCCUUUGUGUCUCCUUACUCUUUUAUCUAGGUAUUUUCGAUAUUUGAGGAACUCGGCAUUUCUGUUGAUGUUGUUGCCACUAGUGAAGUCAGUAUAUCUUUGACAUUGGACCCUUCAAAACUUUGGAGCAGGGAACUGAUUCAACAGGCAAGUUCUUGUAGAAUCCAUAACAUUUUAUUUUUCAAUUCAUAUAUGCAUGCUUUCAAGGCCUUUUUUCCUUAUCCUUGUAACAGGAGCUUGAUCAUGUAGUUGAAGAGCUGGAGAAAAUUGCAGUGGUGAAUCUUCUAAAAGGAAGGGCAAUCAUCUCUUUGAUCGGGAAUGUUCAACAUUCCUCCCUGAUUUUAGAGAGGGUUAGAUCAUGCCUCCUAGUUAUAUAACUUCAAGAUUCUAACAAAGAAAGAUAUAUUUCUUUUGGGUUCUUACUUAAUUGUUUUUAACUUUGGCAGGCGUUUCAUGUUCUAUAUACCAAAGGUGUCAAUGUCCAAAUGAUAUCACAAGGAGCAUCCAAGGUAAACACUGUUUAUCACCUAACUCUCUUUCCUUCCUCACGGACCUCACCUAACAAAUUUCUUUCUUGUUUUGAAAUCUUGUAGGUAAACAUUUCCUUUAUAGUAAAUGAUGCUGAAGCUGAAGGAUGUGUUCAGGCUCUUCACAAAUCCUUCUUUGAGAGCGGUGACCUCUCAGAGUUAUUGAUACAACCCAGACUUGGAAACGGGUCACCUGUUAGGACAAUGCAAGUAGAAAACUGACUUGACAAGCUCAUUGUUUGGUGUGCGUUGUUCUUUGUAUUUCUUCUGAGUGUAGUACGUAUGUUCAUCAAGAACUGCUUGUUGUCGUAUUUUUAGGCACGGGAACUGCUGGCUAUCAUCUUUCAUUUGUUGUAAGACCAAUUGUUUGGACCAUUUGCGGGAUCAAAGUUUAACUAGUAACUCAGAAGGAUAAAGAAAAAGAAAUAUAUUGAUGUAACUGCAGAUAUAUAGACUGGUGUCACAGAUAUGAUGGUACAAGACAUUAGACUAAAAGCUGUGCAGUUGUGUAAGCAUGUGGACAAGCUCAUCACUUGAAGGCCUGUCUGCCGGAAAGUCAGAAAGGCAGAUAAUGGUGAUUCUUAAAGCCAUUAACAUCUCAUCUUCUUCCACUUCCUCUCCAAGAAUGCUUUUGUCUAAUGCUUCUCGUGCUUCCCCGGAUUGCUGCAAAUGUUUUAGCCACUGUCCUAAGGUGCCUCCACUUGCAGCCUCUUCACAGAAGGGAUGGGUCGGGUCUCUUCCAGUUAAAAGAACUCCCAGUAUCAUGCCGAAGCUGAAUAUGUCGCUUUUGUCUGUGUAUCUGUCACAAGGAUUUUGCAUUACCGAGUUAGUAAAAGAGAAGAAUUAGUAGUAAACUCAAAUGGUGGUGGUAUUUAUAUUUGAAGCACCUGUUACUUUGAGAAGACUCAGGAGCAGAGUAGCAAGAUACGGCUGCGUGUGAACUAGGCAUGAUCUUGGCCAAUCCACAAUCAGCAAGGCGGGGCUCAAACUCAGAAUCCAACAUAACAUUUGUAGGUUUCAAGCUAUAAUGAAGAAUCUGUGUCUCACAACUGAAAUGAAGAUACUGAAGCCCUUUAACAAUUCCAACAGCAACUCGAAGCCUAAUCUCCCAUCCAAGCUCUACCUCUUUAGCUCUAACCUUAUCCAUGACAUCCUCAAGACUACCGUUGGGCAUGUAAUCAUAGACGAGAGACAACUCAUCGGAUUCGCGAACAUAAGCUCUUAAACUCAUAAGGUUCCUGUGUCUUAACCCAGCAAGAAGCUCAAGUUCCUUCUGCAACCUUCUCUUAACCGACUUGCUACUACUACUUUCUGGUGAACCAGUACCUUCAAGAGAGCCUAGCCUCUUGACGGCAACCACUAGACCAUUAUCAAGCACCAUCUUGUAGUAUUUACUGUUAGGGUCUGAACCAAGCAACUGAAUACCAUUACCAAGAGCUGCGUGAAGAGACUUAGGUGUGAUUUUAGGGGAAAACACCACAGGACCUUUGAGAAUUGGCGUCUGUCUCAUGUAAUUGACAAUGCAACGAACCAAGAAAGCUAACACCAAGGCUGAAACCAAGCCGGUUAAAAUCCCUGAGAGGAUGCUAAUAAUAAUGACCUUGGAAGUGAUUCUUGAUUCGAGUAGUGUAGACGAUGUUGAAGUUGUGGAUAAGUGUUUCACUGUUCUUCGACGACAACUUGAACUUGUAGCCGUUCUUGAAUUGAAGACUAAGAAGAAGAAGAAGAAGAAGAGUAAGAGCAGUGCAACAGUGUUUUUGCUUCUUUGCUCCAUUGUUGCGUCGCUAAUGAAUAAAAAGCAUUUGGGGGUUUUCAAGAUUAGACAACAAAUCUGAGAGAAGCCAGGAAAGUGAAGAAGCUGUUCAAAGCUUUACAUAGAAACCCAGAAAAAGUUUUUUUUUUAAAAGACUAAAAUAUUAAACAGUGAAGCUCUCCUAUCUAUCCUCUUCUUCCAAAACCACAUAUAUUCUCGAGGAAACCAAUGAGAAACAAACAAGACAAAAUGAGAAAAAUGGAAUUGAACUCAAAAAUCUUCACAGAGAAGAUGAAUUAGAAUAUCUCAUUGGCUCAAAGAUUCUUAUCUAAAAUUCUCUGUCUCUCUCUUUUGCCUUGUAAAAUAAAAAUAAAAAUUGAAAAUUUUAAGAAAGCUUAAUUAUUUUUUUAAAAACACAUUGUUCUUGAUAAGGGGGGGACACAAAAGCAUCAAACUUUGUAUAUGUAUGUCUGAAAAUAAACCCCAAAACUCAGUUGAGAACCCCAAAAACAAAAAAGAGCAGAGAACAGACUCCAAUGAGAGAUUUUUUUUUAAAAACACAAAUUAACUAUAUAUCUGCUUUUGAAAGAUGAAACAAACGAAAAAAAAACAAAACUAUCCAAAACUGUAUUGAGCUCAAUUAAUCCCAAGUUUAACGAAACAAAACACACAUAAACAUGAAACACACACUCUCUCUCUCUCUCUUCUACAACUCUCUUUUCAAGACACAGUAUCUGCGAGACUGUGACCCUCUCACUCACUCUCUCUCUCUCUCUCACUCUCAUCACAAAAAGCAUGACCGAAUCCGUUACUUACUGCCAAAAAAAACCCAAAAAAAAAAAGAAAAGAAAAAGAAAGGUUCCCGCCUUAGAGAGUGGAACCCGCAUUGUCAGGUGGUCGUGGUUAGAAUGGGUCCCGUCGACACGUACGCAGCUCCUCGGCUCUCGUUGCCUUUGCUUUCCAUCCAGUGGCCGAAAGCUAUACACAUCGAGGUCUGUGCUCUAUAUAGACUUGAGCUGAACCAACAACAACAAAAAAAGAUAAUAAUAUACGACACAUCUCACCCGUUGAUUUAUAAUACGUAAUGGAGAUCUUAACCGUUGGAUGCAUAUAUGAGAGAGGCUCGAGAAUUUGUGCUUUCUCUUAGCGUGUGAGAUUUUGUUUACUUACACACACACACACAAAAAAAAGGUGAUGUUCCCUUUGUUUGUCUGAGAAUAAUUGCUUUCUCUUCCCAAUCUUUCUUUGUUUUUAAAAAUUAUUUUUCCAUGUUAAAGGCAAAAGCUUUGUGCUGGGGGAGAGUCACCUUUUUAAUUCAAAGUUAGGUCUUCUUCUUUUCCCAUUUGAACCUCAUUUCUAUAUAAAUAUCUUUGGUGGUGAAAAAAACUUAACUAUUGCUUAAUUGCAAUGGUAACACUCUUAUCAAAAGACUCAAAAGUGUGUGAAUACAAUUUCGAAAUAAGUGGACCAUUGUGUACUCUCUCUUACGCCCAAGUUGACAAUCAACCUUUUUUUAACUGGCCUCAUUGACAUGAAUAAUGACACAUUUGGUUUUUGGACUAUAUAAUAUAUAAUAAGUUUUGUUUGUAUGAACAGAGAGAUUCAAAAACUAAACCAAACCACAAAUUUAAUAGAUCAGCUAAUGAAUAAUUUUAUGGUUACCACCUCCUCCAGAAGUGAACAAAACCGUCGGUACUUUUUUUGCUUACAACGAAUGACACCACAAACUUUGGAUGCCCUAUUGUCCCACAUACACACAACACGACACAACACAAUACACUAUCAUUUCCCAAUAUGCAUUGCAGCCUAUAUCCAUCGCUCACAAAUACAUUUAAAUACAUUACUUUCUUCACUUGGGGAUCUAAGCUUAAUCCACACCGACCGUUUAAGGCCUUUGUUGUUUAGUGUUGAUUGGCUCUUUAACCGUGGAAGCAACGAUGAAACAUAGCUCCGUAAGUUCUAUGCCCAUGAGUCUCUGUAUCUUUUCAUCAACACUGUCUGUGAUUGUAUCCGUUUGUGUCUGAGAGGAGUGCGAGGACUUCUGGAUCGGUAAAUUUGGACUCUGCAGCUAUAUCAAGAGGGGUUUUCCCUUCUACGCUCAUAGCUUCCGGGUUUGCCCCCCUGCAUAAUUCACCCAGUUUGUUGUGUUAAGACAUCAACCUUUUCUAAGGAUUUAGUGAGAGAAACUGUUAAGAGCUAUUUUGGACAAGUGGUACAAAGAAAAUCCAACUCACCUAGAGAGUAGCAAUCUUGCUAUUGCCGCUUUGCCUCUGAAAAUACAACAGUGCAGCGGAGUUUGACCACUUGAAUCUGAGGCAUUUACAUUUGCACCAUAUUGCAACAAAAGCUCUGCCAUCCCAAUGUCUGCCUUCUCACAAGCACAGUGAAGAAGAGAUGAACACCCACUUCCCUCGGGAGAUAUAUUUGAAGAACUACCUGACGUUCUAUCUAACAACUCAUUUCUUAACCUGAGUAGAACAUCUUCACGCUUCGGCCUUUCUGGUACUAAUAUUACUCUUGAAAGUGUUAACGAAGAGCUGGAAGAUGAUUGGUCAUACACAAAGUUCACAUCCGCGUCACCAUUUACAAUAAGCCGAUAAACAGCCUUUUUAUCAUUUCCACACACUGCGUCCCACAUUUGUUGUGCAAUUGAUUGCGGGAAAUCGCAGUCUCUCGAUCUCCGAACAAAUAGCUUCUCAGCAUACUGUGAAAUACAAAAAAAAGAUUUUGAAUGAGCUGCUCUGAACAUUGCCUAUGCCAAAUCAAAGAGAGAACACCGCAAAAGAAAAUAUUUUCUAGAUGUUCAAUAAAUUUUGAAGGAAAAACAUACUGUAAUAUAUGCACUGGCUCUAGAAGAAAAAAAUAUAGCUUCAGUUAUCUCAGACAUAUGGAAUCAAAUAAAGGGUAGAAGCUAAAACCUUAGCUUGUAUAUAUUUCUCCUUAAUAGAUAUCAUAUCACCAUAGCUGGGUUUUCCAGUGACCAUCACCCUGGAUUUAUCUGACCUGAGCAUAUUUAGUGAAGUAAUUUUAAUAAUUGUCAUGUCUAUGGGAUCAAAGCUAUCAUCACUUUGACUAAGAAGGCAAAAUCUCAAUCAUAAAUGGACUUUUUACCCCGUUAAGCCUGGGUCAACAUGGAAGGCGCUCCUUGAAUGUAGCAAUUCCUCCCAAACUGUGUUUGCGUAAGUAUUUCCAAGAGCUUGGAACAAACUUAUAACAGAUGGCUCCCAUACUUUCACAUCGAGGGUGAGUGACCUAACCUGUAGCAACAGCCAACUUCAGAUUGAUCUAGACUGAUGCCAAAAUGAAUGUCGAGUCAUCCAAAGUUCAAGUUCUGUCACAUGCUUUAACAAUCUGAAUUGCUUCUGAACAUCAAGCCUACUGUCACUUCAAAAUUCAGAUGGACUUCUUUACGUCCUUCCAUGAGUGGGUUGUUAUAAAGCCUACUUAUAUUUUGCAAGCAAUAAAGAGUUUUGAUGAUUUACCUUAGAUAUAUGCACACCGAGAUUACGGUGAACACCAGAACAUUCAAUACAGACAAGAACCCCCAGAUUUAAAGACGCCCAGUCUGGUUCUGGAGCUCCACAAUCCGCACAUUUGUCAUUCCCACAGACCUUUCGCAGAGCAUCAAUGGGCUUCUCACCCUUUCUAAUGGACCUCUGCGGCUGAAAAUUUCUUGAUUGCCUUUCAUGGUAUCCCAAAAAGCUCCUCUCACAUACAAAUUCUUCAUUUGUAGGAUGAUCAUAUUCAGAACUUUCAUAUGAGCUACUUUCACUAGCAGAUCGAUGGUGACCACUACCCAUGGGACUACCAGGAAGACGCUGAAAUGUAGCCGAAGGACAAUUCAUCAAAAUUGCAUUGAUAUUUACUAUGACCCUGGUCAUGCAAAGGAAUAAUGACAAUACUUACCUGUUCAGGGACCUGAGAACUAAGUAGUGAUGCAAUAACCCCAGUGAUCUUUUCUAUCCAAUCCAUUUGAUCGAGUGCACUCUCAGCCUGCACUGACAAACAUAAGUAAACACUGAGUGAAAACUAUUAAAAUUUGGGCAAACAUGCCAACAAUAGAAGCUGGAGGCAGUAACAAACACUCUGAGUCAAACCUGCAACGUGUAAUUUUUUGUAGGUGAAAUGAUCCUAAAGCAAAACCUCAGAUCUGACUGAUCAGCGUCGACUUUAAUUGUUGAGGUGAGUAAGUUCACUGUAUGACGAGCUACAGACUUCUCAUCAUGGACACCACCAUGUCCAUGACUAUUCGACGAAAGCCACCUACUAAGAAGUCCAGACCCAAGCUCAGAGCUAUUUCUCUGUCCAGAAAGCUGGCUACCAGACCCCUAAACAUCAAAUCAUCUAAGUCAGAGUGUGCAAAGAAUGGGUCAAAAAGAAAUUUAAUUUAUGAACACCACACAGUUUGCAUUAUUCUGCUCUUUUUUAAAACAAAUAAAAGAUAGAUAUAUACAAAACUCACAGAUGGUUUGCUACACUGUUUUCGGUAAUAAUACAGCAUUCCUCGGCUAUCAAGAACAAAAAACCGUCUUUUCCAGUCUCCUCUCAGAUUUGAAGAUCUUUUAGAGAGAUAACCUUGCCUUAUUGUUUGUACCUGAAAGUACCAAGAAAUGUUAAUAGUACUCUUUGGAAGAUGUCGAAUUCAUAUGUAAAGGACAUUGAUCAACCUUUCCCCUUGCAGCAGAUUGCAUUACAGCGUCUAUCAUUUUGUGAGAGCUUCGACCUAUGGCCUGUAUGCCAUCUCCAUUUGGUGAUCCAUUAGAACCAUUAGAACCAAUCCUGCUCUCUCGAUCAACCUGUCUUUUGUACUCCUGCAUCUUUUCAUUAAGUGCUGCUUGUUCAUAAUUUGAUCUUUCUCUGGAUUGUUGCGCAUAGGUCAAGACCUGCAAAAAAGGAGUGAAAGGUGUAAAAUAGUUUAUUUUUUAUUUAAAUUGCAACUGUCUCAGCGUUCUCAAUACGUAUGUGAAGACUCAUGCAUAGUCUUAAAACAGAUUUAAACUCCAAAUGUUUAGGGAUCUAUUACUUGAAGGGAAAAAAAAAAAAUUAGACCGACCUGAUUGAUAUAUGGUUCCAUCUGAUGCAGUAAUUCGUAACCCUGAAAGCAGCCACAUUCAGAUUUGAAACAAAUCAUUUUAGACUAUUUUAAAAUUCUUCUGAAUGAGCAUAACAUACUUACCUGUUUGAAGUACCGAAGAUGUGCAUCCAUCGUUCCGCUGACUGCUUCCAAAAAUUCAAACCUUUUCUUAGCCUCAACGUUUGAAAGAGCAGUCACCUGAUCAUAAAUUAGGGAAGUCAAUUAAAAAUGAUUACUUUAGCAAUAAUCAGGAUGUGACUGUACAAAUAUGACUUGCAAUUAAUAAUCGGAAUCCAACGACAGAAAUUUACAAGGUUGAACCGAGCUUGCUCAAACAUAGACCUCGAAGUGUGAAGUUCCUGUCAGUGUCAAAAUAUGUUAGUUAUAACAUAGGGAAACAAAAAAUACAUGGUACCCAAAAGCAUGCAACCAAACCUGUUCUAAAGCAGCAGCAACGUCACUUCUUGUACCUUUCCUCAAAGAUAAAAACUUCUCACGAGCCUAAAGCACAAUAGGAAGUUAAUUAGCUAAUCUCCAUAUAAGCUUGAACCAAUUUCUAACAAAACAGAUAUCAGUUAUCUUCCAAGCUACAAAUUUGAUUCCUAGUAACAGCUAAUGCUCAGAAAAGUAAUAGAAAUGAGAACUAGCUAGGUUUCUGUAGAUUUAGACACAGCUUGAAAUUGCAGCACACAUAUACGUAUUCCGCUUUGGAUAAUAAGAACCCUAGCCUCAUUCGAUUAACCAGAAAGGAUUCAGAAAUGGUAAUGAGCUCAACACAUUUGUUUGGUUGAAACUUUUUAAACAGAUAUUAUAUCUAGUCCGGAAAAAAGUUAGGAUAAGAAUUUUUGGUCUUUCCAAACUAUCCUUUGUAACCAUGUAAGCAGGGUGGAGAAAACAAAAACCCUUGACAAAGGAAUACCUGAUCAUAGGUAAGGCUAGCCUUGUCAAAGCGCUUCCGAGCUUCCUGUGGCAAAAAUGAUCUCUCAGGAUUCAUAUCCAAAUAUAAGCUUGUCAUGCUAUCUUACUUACUUAAAAAAAUGGAAGAAAGAUAUAUCUGGACUAGCCACAAUGUAUAGGCAGACUCAAAGAAACUUAACCACAUAUUUCGAAUUCAGUGGACCUUCUCUAUAGUGGUAACCUCAAAAUAUAUUUUGUUUGGGGAAGGUAGACGACCGGAGUGAUAAUUAUUCAGCCUUUUUAGAUUCCUAUUGCUGAAAUCCCAAAGUCAAACCAGAAGAAGAAAACCUAAGCCAUAUUAAAUUAAAUGCCUCCUGGCAUGCCUUCAUAGUUUCUCCACUCAUACAUGGCAGAAUGCAUGUCCUCCAUUGUUUCAUGGACAUUCUAGUAGGUAUUAAUGGCCAACAUAGAUUAACUUAAAAGAGAGAUCUAGCCAAGAAGAAAGUAAACAUAUUGUACCUUAACCUCAUGCAAAUCCAUAUUGGAAAACUGAAGUAAUCUGUCAUUGAGAAUAUGUUCCACCUGCAAAUGAGAAUUCGUCAAAAUUGAAACCUGAACUGAAACGACUUGAUCUAAAUUAACUCAAACAAUGUCUAAAGGUGAAUAAAUCUAUAUAGAGGCCGCUUUUGCUGCAAGAAAACAGAACUAUCUACGUAGAUACACAGAGGAGUAAUCAGAAAGAAGGCUGAGGAUGGGGAGACAUGGAGAGAGCGUCACAGUAACAAACUAGCAUACCUGUGACCGAAGAACUUCCUUAUAAGUCCCAAUUUCCCUCAGCGCAAUUGUAAAUUUCGUCAUUACGGGGCCUGGCACAUCAAGUUAGAGUUUAUCAGCACUUUUGAUGAAACUAUAUUUUUUCCAAUUCUUAACUGAGAUAUUUCUACCAUAACCGCGAAUCUAACAAUCCUAGCAAAGAGAGAGAUGGAGAGCCUCACUCUCUACAGUUUAAGCCACCAUAAAAAUGUGCGUAAAAAGUAACAAUAUUCAAACAUUUAUGAAUUCUAAAUUGAAAACAGCUUAAGAUGACAAGUAGGUGCAAACUGUAUGGUGAUAAACAGAAAAUAUGCUAUUGUGAGUUUCCAUAUACUAUAAGUGAGAUCAGUCAUACCUCCAAAAGCCACGCUUAUUGGAUCAUUAUGGCCGCCACCAAAUGUUUCAAGUGCACUUGCGAAAGCAAUGUCCCCAUCAUAUGCCUAGCCCUUCACUAUAACAAAAAAAAAAAAAAAAGAUAAUCUAACUCUGUUAAAAGAUAUGUUCUCAUGUUUCUUUCAGCUGGAAGAAGAGUACAGCUACAAUUCUAAGCAUAUGAGAAAAUUCGGGGCGUACGUGUAUUUCCGGCAUCCUUUGUAAAAUUUGAGACUUCUUUCCCGCAAUACUUCCGCACUCUCCUCCAUGCUUUGUAACUGUGUCAGAAAGAUAGAUUAAUGGAAGCACACAGCUGGAAGGAAAAGUACAUAAGGCAAAGAAAACAGCAAGACACAACCAUUUGUCAAAGAAACUGCAACUAUGGACAACCCAAAAAACUAAGUGAUAUAGGCACUCCAUAUAGCGGUGACAAAAAUUUAAACUAUAGGACAACAGAGCAGGAUUGGAGCUACACUAGAGAACUUCCUUUAUAAUAAUGUUGCAAAAAAAAUCUGCUCCUCCGCACUGAAAGAGUGAGCAUGAGAAUAACUAGCUAAGUGGAGACAAGUGUAUCCUAAAACACAAAGUAGCUUUGCCAGAGUCAGAGAUUCAAACAUGUGAACUGGAUCACAAGUCAAUUCACAUUUCACCAGCAAAACAAGGCAAAAGCGCGAAUAUAGGCAGUCCAGUCAAAUAAUAUUAAACCAAAUUUCUCAGUGACACAAUAAGUUGAACCUUUCCACUCUAAAAUUGGGGUAUAAGUGUCGGUGAACUCUAAAAAUUUGAGACAAUAAAACACCCAAAUGGCUCCAAAUUUGGUGUAUCUGUUUAUUCACAAGUAGUGAAGAAGAAAUCUGGCCAAAUAGCACACUAAAAGACUGGAGACAUGAGGACAAAUACACACAAAAUGUAGAGAGAAACCUGUUUGCGGAACAUGGGAGAGUCAUCAAGCUUGGUGAAAUGCAUAUUGAGCAAAUUCUAACUUCCUCUUCUUCGACACAGACAGCAAUUAACAUUACACGGACAAACAAACAAACAAAAUAAAAACAACCUAAAAGCAAAAGACCAUCACUGUUUUUUUUUUCUCACACAGACGCAAACAAGAGACAAAAAAAAAAACAAAAACAAAAGGAAGAAAAAACGUGAGAUCCUCUCUUCCCAAAGUUUUCCCGAAACCAAACCCCGAUGAUCUAACAAAGUCUCGAGCCUUGUGUGGUUUUUUGCUUCUCGCGAAAUCGAAAGUUGAAAAAAAAAAAAAAAAAAACAGUGGGGAGGGAUUUGUGAAUUUUGAGAUGAAGAAGUGUCUCGGGAGAAGAGAAAGCAAAGAGAGAAAGAAAAAAAACACUUCACCGUCUUUGUGAGUAAAAAAAUUUAACCACAAAAAAAGAAAAAAAGACGGCGAAACUGUGCCGCUUUAGUUACCGCCGGAGAUCGUGAAGGUUGGUAAGAUACGACGCCGUUCUGAACUGUAAAUUUUUUUAUAAAGAUGAGAGGACUCUCUGACUGUGCUUUUUUUGCUUUGGUCAGAGAGAGAGUGUGUGUGUGUGGUGGUCAUCUGAGAAAACAAGGACUCGUGCUUUACUCUACUCUUCCACGCGCUUUACUCGCGUCUUUAGUAAACUACGAUGCGCGUGUAACUAACGCGAGGCUCUCUUGAUGGGGUUUUAAAUAGAGAGGAGAAGUGUGGGACCCGUUUAUCUGGUUGCUUCUCCAUUACCUUUUGUUCCGGAGAGACAGAGAGGUCAGUGGGGUUUUUUUCACAUUUUUAUAUAUGAUUCCCUUUUUUCUUUUCUUUUUUUACAUUUUCUUUUUUAUUAGGAAUUUAAAAUUCUUAUUAGGGUGGAAAAAAAUUGCUAAAGCAAAAGGAAAAGGUAGAGAAUUUUGGAAAAUAUUGACACGAUGAUCUUACUUUUUUUUUUUAAGCAGACUUUACAGUCGCAUAUGAUAAUUAAAUAUAUAUUUUGUGUGUUUCAAAAAUGAAAGAAAAUCCCUAUUGUUUAAUUUAAAAAUGUAUCAUCUCCUCUUGUCCAGCUAGAACAAGAUUUCUUUAUUCAUAUCAUACCGAUCUAUAUAUUCUCUAACCAAGAUCGUGUUUAAGAUUUUGUUCAGUUUUAGUUUUCAAGUCUUGUUGUUAACUCCAGUUAAACUCCCCAUAUCUACUUGUUCAAUAAUAAAAUAUGACAAUGAGAAUUAUGUUUUCGACAUGUUUAUUUUUUUCUACUAGUUCUGAUUUUCUAUAUGAUCUGGGAUUGUGGUCUCUCUUCUAAUCAUAUAGUACUAUUAAGUCUAUUAUACAGUAUAUACUAGUAUAUUGUAUGUUUUCUCUCUCAAAUGAUUUCCAAACCUAAUGCUAUGAAUCUAGUAUCACUUUAGAUCUCUCUUUUCCCUUUUUAGCCUGUCGCCUCUUUCAUUUCCCCUUAAACCCUGGUACACCUCAGGUUAGUAAAAACAAUCUAUAGUGACUCAACUAGGCCACUAAUGGGCUGAACUGUAGGAAUUUUAGUUACGUAAGGCCCAAUUAAUAAAUUGCCCAUUUAAAUUUCCUUUAUUUUACUUAAAAGGAUCACACACGUCACGCGAGGCGGUGUGUUUUCUUUCUUUCUUCCUCCUCCUUCUUCCAUUUAUCGCCCCAAUCGAUUUUGUGUGUUUUUCCAAUUUCUAAUUUCCUACUCUUUCCCAAUGGCGUCGUCUGGAUCAGCCAAUGAGGAUUUCCAAUCCCGCGUUGCGAAGAUCUUCGGGUCUCUCGCCUUCUCUCGUCCCUCUUCCUCUUCCUCUUCUUCUUCCAAGUUUUCUACGACUUCUGCUCCGGCGGCGUCGCGGCAGCUUCCCGGGUCGGUGUGGACUCUCUCCGACACAGAAGUUGAGAAACGGGAGUGGAAUCGAGAUUCGUACGAUAGGGAUGAGAUUCCUUGUGCGUCAUCGUUCGACGCGAUUUUGAGACAGCAGAGGAUCUCCCCUAGCACUGCAGAGGAUGAUCUUAAGGAUAUUGAUGGCGCCGAGGAUUUUGAUGAUGUCUGGAGCAUUAGAGCGUCCAUGGGACUUGACCGCACUCUCGAUGACGAGGUAAAUCAAUUUGGUUCUCUGAAUGCUUGUUUCUCAUCUGAGUCUGAAAAAUGGAAGAGAAUUGAUUUGUUACUGUAAGAACAUAUUGGUGUGUGAUUCAGGGAGUUUCUGUACGUGAGUCUUCAAUCUAAUAAUUAUCUUCGAGAUUCUGGAAUUUGAAUUUUACUUGUUAACAAUAUUUGGCGUUGUUUCUAGUAUAUGCUGUAUUUGUCGCUUUCUUUGAUACUGAGGGUUGUUUAUGCUUCUUUACGCAGGCAGAGGAAGACGAGUAUGAUAAAGUCGCACUAGGGACAGAGAAUGACGUUGAAGACUUGUCUCUAAAAGAUUCUCUUUCGAAAUUGUCUGGCGGACGGACUCGGGAUCCUCGUGCUAACUAUGUUGCUGCGAAAAUGAGGCUGAAGGAAGACGAAAUGGAGGCCAACAAACUUAAAGCUUGUGCCAAUCAACCCUCGAAAAGCAAAGAGUCACACGUAGAAGAAUCAUCCAAAGCUGUGCCACCGAAACCUAUUCUCAAAAGAAAGGAGACUAGUUCAGAUUCAGAAGCAAGGACAAGUAAGCGAGUCAGGUUUGAUUCUCUCUUGGAAGAAACAGUAAAGAAGCCUGAAGAUGCUUGUUCGGCUUCUACCUCUUCAAAAAGCAUAUCUCAUCAGAGUAAAACUGGUGCUCGGGUACCGGAUUACUUGCUAAAUCCUUCGAAGUACACCCGUUACACCUUUGACCCAUCUUGUGAAUUGAUUGAUAAGUCCCCAACAGGAGAGUACAUGGACAUUCCCAAGGCUGUAGAAGGAUCAACAGAUUCAGAAUCAUUCAAGAAAGUUUCCUUCAUUCCACAGAAGAAGACCAAGGACGUAAGAGAAGACAGUAGUAACUGUAGUGAGACAAAGCCUAUUGUAGCUGGAGAGUUAGCAGAAGCUGAGAAACCAAGUGCAACAGAAGAUGGGGUUACUGAAAUAGGAGACUUAGAGAGCUCCACCAGUUUCCAAAGGAAUGGCCGUCAAUACCGUGCCAAGCAAAGUGUAGAUGAAACAGUUGUCUGAACAAUUCGGUUGAAAACACUACGCGGAGAUGAAGUUGGUGUCCAUGAGAUACAAACAUGUAGCAUCUUUUAGCAGCACAUGUAAGAUAUUUUUUAAUUCCUAGACUUCUUUAGCAAACUUAUGGUAACAUAGUAAGAAACAGUUUGCCUUCGAGACUGUUUAAUAGAGACUUAAGCUACCUUAACUUCCUGCUGGAAGCUAUCUUGAUAGAUCGCCAGAGAUGUUGCCACAAGUUUGGUUUCAACACUAGUGAACCGUUUUUGGGAAGAUUCCAGGGUUAAAGAAAGACAUCCUUGUGAGCACGAGGACUGCAAUCUACUUGUGGAUGAGAGAUUGCUUUCAUAGAGAGAGCCUCCUUUUGAUGACACAGGGAAAAUAAAGACAUGUAAAAAUAUACUUGGAAUAUGGAACUAAUGAGCAGGUAGAAGUCUAUUGAUGCUGAGAGAGAAGGUUGCCUCUCUUUUUUUGUUUACUUUUGAUUCAGUUCAACAAGUUUAAGAUAGAAAAAAAACAUGGGUUCCAUUUGUUUGCUUCAAUGAUUUUGCAUGAAACAAAGCUAUCGUUAGAUGAGCAUAGCUUAGUGUUCCUUGAGUUCAGGAUUCUGUUCUGACGGGGUUUCAGCUAAUGGUUUGAUCAAAAAGACCACUCGGUGUUGCAGUGUUUGCAAAUCAGAAGACAGUCUGGUCUGAAUAUUCAUAGUUUGGUUUUAAAUGAGAUGCAUAGAUUUUUGUAUCAAUGGGAGGGACGGAUACAAUAAUAAUACCAUUGUUGAGCCUUAAAACGACUUUUAUAAGAUAUUAUUUCGUUAAUAUGUUGAACAUGACUCAACACCAACCACAUAAUGUGUAUCAUUUUGUGUAACUUGCUUAAAAGGAUCAAUUCAUAGAUAUCUCCUUUAACCAUGGCCUCUUGGUUUCUGCGUACGGAUGCAUUUAUAAGAUGAUGAUUUAGCUAAUUUUACAUUAUUUACGAAAGAUACGUGUGUUUUGGAAGGACACACCUAAGAUGCCACAAGACACCAAAAAAACCCCACUUGGGUGUGCAUAUAAGAAAGAGUCAGAAGAUGGAGACGACUUGAGUUUAGUUUGUUUUGCUACUAAUAAAUAAAGAAAUUGCUUUCAACGCUAAGGUUUACUUGGAAUUUUCUCUAUUUUUCCAGAAAAUUUCUGGGCAAUAUCCCUCAACGGCCCACACACACACUUCAUAUGUUCUAUUAAAAUCAAAGUCCUGGUUAGAAAGAAGUGGAAGGUCAACCAACCCCAACCCGUUAUGUUUUGUCUUGAUCCGUUCAGAAAUUUCAGUAAAGAAAGAAGAAUACAUAAAGUAAAUAAAAUGUAGUAGGGGUUGGUGGACAUAUUAUAAAAUUAAAUGUCACAUGGAGAAUACCCAUAAGAAGAAUAAGAUAAAGAACGGAAGAGAUUACAAGAAAAUAGUUUUGGUUUUUUCCUUUUACGGCAAUUGCAUUAGUUUAAGAUGAGUUAACAAUGUUUGGUUUGGUUGAAGAAAAAGACACAUACUGUAUCUAUGUAUAUAGUACCGUUGGGUAAGAUAAGACAACGAUUGGAGCUUACACGAGAACCAUAUAAUAACAAACAUCAGUCACACACCACUGGUCCGGACUGUCUGUGCUAUUUAUUGUGUUUAUUGAUCUGUGUUUGUUUGUUUUGGUUUUUUUGUUUUAAUACAAUCUUCACAAUAUAUAUUUCCCAUACAAAAUGAGUCCACUGUCACUGAGUGGAUCCAAUCUGGAGAAGAUACUAGACUCUGUUGCAGAGGUGAGUUUUAAAGUCUCUUUCUGUUCAAUUUCCUAGUCGUUCCUGCUUAUCGUCUAUUUGCUUAUCUAUUGCAUUGCAUCAACGAAAGAUAUAAACUAUGCUUUUUCCAAAAUAUAUAUAUAUACUUUGUUACAUAUUUGAAACGAGUUCGUUGUUUUAUAUAAGAUGAUGAUAUUGAAACUUCGUCUGCAAGUUCAAGACUCUUGAUCACGACUCACACAAGUAGUCACAACUAAAUGAAUAUAGUUUUAUAUUGACUCUCUCUGUGUAGAGUCUUUUUGUGGUCUGGUCGUUGUUUAUGAAUUCUAUUUUUCUUGCGCAAAAAUUUUUUUUAUAAUUUCUUUGUGUGUUUCUCCUUCAUUUCCUUGCCUUUUCCUGACUUCAUUGAAACAGAUACCAACAAAAGAAAAAGAAAAUAAAAAUGAUAGUUGCAAAUUUUCUUGAAUAUAGUCGACGACAUGGUACAUUUACCACCAUGUUGCAUAAUUCGUCAAAUGUUAUACUAUUAAACUAUAUUACCACCCAUAUAAUUAUUACAAUUUUAUCAUAAUUUUGCAUGAUCUAUUAAAAAUUGAGUACUAAAUUUAUAUUAAAAAACUAAAAAGUAAAACAAUAAAAUCAAACCAAACUAGACAUAUCAUAAAGUCUUUGGGAAUCCAUGAAAAUAUACAUUUUCCACAAAACGAAAAUUUCCAUGAAUAUUAGUUAAAACAAAACGAUUUCAUCUCAGAUGCCUAUGUAAAUUACUCCUCUCAUAUAUAAAACAUGCCAACUCGUUGGAAUACAAAGAUUAACAAAAAAAAAAAGAAGAAGCAUUUUGUGACAGCAUCACACACGCUAAGGUCAGAAUGGUAUAACAAAUUGUGUUACUCGGUCGAGACUUUUCUACAGUUUGUACUUAAUAAUAUCAUUUAAAAACAUUGACCGAGACUCACGAACUGCCAAAUCCAUUUUAUUUAUAAGUAUUUUCUCUUGCUAUUUAUAGUAGAACCAAGUGUCCAACUCUCUGAUCCCAUAUCAUCAACUAGAGAGAACUAAAUAUGAAGCCAAUCUUCAACACCAACGAAGAAUUUGAGACGGGGCUGAAGAAUUUAACUUCAAAUGUGAAGCAAAUACAAGACAACUUGUUGGAGGAGAUAAUCACUCCCAACACAAAUACAGAGUAUCUCCAACGUUUUCUCACCGAGAGGUUCGACAAAGAGCUCUUCAAGAAAAAUGUGCCGAUCGUGACCUAUGAAGAUAUUAAGCCUUAUAUCGACCGUAUCGUUAAUGGAGAGUCAUCCGAUAUCAUUUCCGCCCGACCCAUCACCGGUUUCUUGCUAAGGUACAUAAGAAAUUUUCUAUAUAUAGUUUUUAUUUAUUUUUAAUUUUAAACCAUAUACAUGUUCUUAAUUAGACGAGUGUUGUUCUGUAGUUCGGGAACUUCUGGAGGAGCACAAAAGAUGAUGCCAUGGAACAACAAGUACUUGGACAAUUUGACAUUUAUCUACGAUCUUCGUAGUCAAGUUAUAACCAAGUAAGUGUAACAUGUUUUCCUUAUAAACGAUUUUAUUUUGGAUCAGACCAUUGAUGGACAAAUCUCUUCUUGUUUUGUUUAGGCAUGUGAAAGGUGUGGAGGAAGGUAAAGGGAUGAUGUUUCUCUUCACUAAACAAGAAAUAAUGACUCCUUCUGGCUUGCCUGCUCGAGUCGCAACCAGCAGCUAUUUUAAGAGCGACUACUUCAAGAACCGGCCAUCUAACUGGUACUACUCGUUCACGAGCCCUGAUGAAGUCAUCCUAUGCCCUAACAACACCGAAAGUCUAUACUGCCAUUUGCUCUGUGGCUUAGUCCAAAGAGACGAGGUUGUGAGGAUGGGUUCCAUCUUUGCUUCAGUCAUGGUCCGAGCGAUCAAGGUUCUUGAGAAUUCUUGGGAGGAGUUGUGUUCAAACAUCCGAUCAGGUCAUCUCAGCAGCUGGGUCACAGACUUGGGUUGUCAAAGCUCUGUGUCUUUGGUCCUUGGAGGACCACGUCCUGAAUUAGCAGACACAAUCGAAGAAAUCUGCAGCCAGUCUUGGCAAGGUAUAGUCAAAAGACUAUGGCCAAACACCAAAUUUAUUGAAACCGUUGUUACAGGUUCAAUGGGACAGUACGUUCCCAUGUUGAACUACUAUUGUGACGACUUGCCUCUCGUUUCAACAACCUACGGUUCUUCAGAGACCACAUUCGGGAUCAAUCUAGAUCCUCUGUGCAAACCUGAAGAUGUGUCUUACGCUUUCAUGCCAAACAUGUCUUACUUUGAGUUCAUACCUAUGGAUGGAGACACCAACGAUGUAGUCGACCUUCAAGAUGUGAAACUUGGGUGCAGUUAUGAACCCGUGGUCACAAAUUUCGCUGGUGAGCUAAAUAAAUCGACCGUGAAUUCAAUAAAAUGCAUUAUUUAUUAUUCUUUUCAUUUUUUUAACUAAUGUUAGUGAAUAUGUGAUUUUUUUGGUUCAGGCUUGUAUAGGAUGAGAGUGGGAGAUAUUGUAUUGGUGACUGGCUUCUACAACAACGCGCCUCAGUUUAAGUUUGUAAGAAGAGAGAACGUGGUCUUAAGCAUCGAUUCCGAUAAAACUAACGAAGAAGAUCUGUUUAAGGCUGUGAGUCAAGCAAAGCUCGUACUCGAGUCAUCAGGUCUCAUUCUAGAAGACUUCACCAGUUAUGCUGACACCUCAACAUUUCCUGGUCACUACGUGGUUUACUUGGAAGUAAAAGCCAAAGAGGGGGAGGAGGAUAAGAACAAGACACACCUUGAGCUCGAUGAAGAAGCGCUCUCCAAGUGUUGUGUGGUAAUGGAGGAGUCGCUUGAUAAUGUUUACAAGAGAUGUCGAUUCAGAGACGGAUCGGUUGGGCCUCUGGAGAUAAGAGUGGUGCGUCAAGGAACGUUUGAAUCUCUAAUGGACUUCUUCAUCUCACAAGGUGCUUCCACCGGUCAAUACAAAACUCCCAGAUGCAUUAAGUCAGGGAAAGCCUUAGAAGUAUUGGAGACAUGUGUGGUAGCCAAAUUCUUCAGUACUUGAUUGUUCUUCCUUGGAUUAAUAUAUAUAUUGAUUCAAGUGAUUUGUUGUGGUUUCAAUAAACUAAAUGUGUACUAGUUUGUCUGAAUGUGUAUAAUUUCUAAUAUAUAUUGAUCAAGUCUUUUGUACUAGUUCAUUGUUGUCUGCAAAAUGGAACACAACAAUGAGAAUUUCCAGGUCUUUACUCAGAAACAGAGCAUUUUAUUAAAUCAGGACCGAAUUUGGAAAUGUUUUAUAUGGACAAAACUUUGAGAUGAAACCAAACCGUUCUUUAAAUCUUUACACUUCACCACUAUGAGCCAUGAUGAGUCCAUGCCUACCAAAAUAACGAGGGGACAAUCCGGUUUUGUUUUGUUGCGGUUCAUUUUAUGAUUAUCGCUUUCAUAGAAACGAAAACCAAUUAAACCGUUUGUAAUUUGGUUUUCUUAUUGGUUAGUUUGAUGCAAUUUGGUUUGGUUAUUCUGAUUCCGGUUUAGUUUGAUUUAUGUAAUAUGACAUGUUAACUAAUGUUUUAUUUUAUAUAUAACAUGUUUAACAUAUGAUCAUCUAUAAUCAAAUAUUGGAUUAUUCAGUUCGGUUAGGUUCAUCAGUUACACAUUAAAUCAGUUUUGUUGAUUUCGGUUUGGUUUUCAUCUAUAUAUUAGUGGAUUAAAUUGGUUCGUUUAUUUAUUUAUAUUCACUCCAUCCAACUAGUAAUGAAGUAUUAGUGAAGUUAUUAGCAAGGACAAAUGCACAACAUCUUGGAUCAGUAUCUAAACGGGGUAUGAUGAUGGUAUAUAUGUCAUUCAAGACCUUCUCUCGCCUAUGUUUACAGAUCACUAGUGGUAAUGGAUUUGGUUUAAUGAACAAUUUGACUUUUACAUGUAGAUUUAUAAAGUCCAGUGAGAAAAUUCCUUAUGAUCCAUGUGAGUUAGAGAGACAGCUAAACUAAACAUGAGGUCUAAGCUUUGAUCUCACCGUCAAACUGGAUUAUGGUUUAUGACUUUUGGAAAAGGAAAGUCGAAUGUGAAGUAAAUACAAGACCAUCUUAGAAAGAGAUACUUUGAUGCUUCUUCCAUAGCAAAGAAUUCACCAAGUGCUUAUCUAUGAUGAAUUGAUGAUCGUCUCUCGUGAUUGAAAAUCUUUCAUAUAUCAUAUCAGCCCAAAGUUAUUUGUGUUUUACUCCAAAUGGAUUGUUUAGUCGUCUUAUCAAAAUCAUUGAGAAACAAAUAUAUGUAAAAUUUAAAAUUUAAAGCCAUAAAUAUAGUAUGAAACAAUCUAAAAUAAAAACGCUUUUAAACUUGGUUUUUGCACAAAAAUCUUUUAAGAAAAUUAACAUUGGGCGAUUUGAGGAUAAUUAAUAUUUAGACAGGCCGUAAAAGUAGAUGAGUAAUCUAUCACAAAAACAGUUGUACUAAGCACAACAUAUGAAGCAUAAACAUAUUCCAAUGGAACUAUAUGAAGCAUAAACAUAAGCAUAAGCAUAAGCAUAAUCUUAUUUUUUAUUAUUUAACUAUGCAGAGUUUACAAAAUUUACUACUAUAUACAGUAUGAUGCAAACAUUUAUACCAAUGAAACUAAAACAGAUGCAAUUAUAUAUUUAUCAUUUUAUAUUUUUUGUAAAAAGGAAAAGAAGAAAGUUGGAUCCGCAAUCAUUCCUAAUUUGUGCAUAACACUGCUGCCAAAACAUGCGAAGUUCAAAUAAGCUCUAGAAAACAAAACAAAACAAAACAAAAGAAAUAAAAAAAGAAUGAGAAAAAGAAAAAGAGAAGUAUGAACUCAAAAGAACGGCCCCACCACCGCACCAUUCCAAAGGUUUAUUUCGAGUAGAGAGGAGGGAUGAUCCUAUUCCAUCUUCUCUCUUUAUAAAAACCCUUUUCGUCACCUCUUCUUUCCUCAUAAUAAUAAUAUCACAUCAUCCUACAUAGCCCUUUAUCUAAAGAACAAAAAACCCUUAUUUGCUCCCAAUUCCUUUCUUUUCAUCACAUACUAGCCAAAGCUCCAUGUACUACUAGUCACUCCCCCAAAGUUCUUGAUUUCAAACUUAUAGUUCCUUUCAAAAGUCUUCUUUGUAUACACACAUACGUUUGCUCUUUCUUCUUUCUGCGUGUGUGUGUGUGUGUUUUGUGUUGUAAAAGUGGAUCGGAGGUAUGGAAAGGGACCGGUUCCACCCCAAACAUCGGCGGCGGCGGCGGCUGAUGAUAAUCCGUCCUGGGACGAGACUGAUGUCACCGCCAUGGUCUCCGCUCUAAGCCGUGCCAUCGAGAACCCGACUGACCCGCCUGUCAAACAAGAGCUUGAUAAAUCAGAUCAACUUCAACAAGACCAAGGUGAUUAUCAAAAAAUUAUAUGCUUUCAUCAUACGUCUCUCUACUACUAGAAUUAAGUGCUUAAAACUUCUUCUUCUUUUUUUUUGUUUCCUAGCUGAUGUAUGUAACUUGGUUAUAAUAAGUUAACUAACUAAAGACUUACUAUUAAUAACCCUUUCCGUCGAUUCUCUUAGUUAAUAAUUAAAAAAAUUUUGAGGGGAAAAAAGGAAUUUGUAUAUAGAGGUUAGGUUCGAGUUGAAGUUGAAGUUGAAGUUCAAUGCAUCUCUAUCAUUUAAUUUACUUUCCGUAAAGAACCUUCCUUCUAAUUGUACCACCGAUCAGCAUACUACUACGUGUCUAUCCUUUUUUUUUUCAAUUUUUAAUACAUGUAGAUUUUUCUUUUCAAAGUACAAGUUAGAUAGUGUAUUUUAAUAAACUCAUGUCUUUACUCGUCAAACAUAUAUAUAACCUACAUAUGGCUUCUUACCUAACUAGCUAGAUAGAGUAAUUUUUGACCACGCAUGUUCUUUUUGAAAUUAGUUGUCUUUAGAUAGGCAUCAACUUUAUGGUUGUCUUUUUAUUUAUCAAUGUUUUGAAGUAUUUCAACAUGCAUGAUUAACUCGUUUUUUUCUUUGGAGUGCGUUAGAACUUAAUAGCCGAAUAUGUCAAACGACUCAGGCGCAAUGUCUUUAUCUAAAAUCAAGUCUUAGUUUAUUUUUUUAAUGAGUGAUAUAUAGUCCCAACAUCUAAUUUUGUUGAAUGCUAUGUUAGAUUUAUAUACGUCAUCCCUUUAAUUUGUACACACAAUAAAAAUCACCCGGAAAUAUAGUCUGGAUAUUGAUUCAAACUUUGAUUUUGGUUCAGUAAAAAUGUAUAGUAAUCCACUUGAAUUGCAGGAUUGAUCACCCUUAUUUUUGAUUCCAUCUAAAUCUUAUGAGUUGAAUAGUAUAUUGUAUUCUGUGGAAAGUUCCAUAAUAUCACAUAGUUGAUGAUCGUUUUAAGUGUUAUUGUAUUAUGCACCAUCUUUAGAUAAUUAAAUCAUUUCAUUUUUUUCUUUCUUUUAAAUCAUAAAUAUCAAACUAACAUAUUCUUGCUAGAUAUAAUUAAUCGUUAAAAUCACACGUAAUAUAAAUCUUCUCAUGCAUGUAGAAACUGUACAUGCAAUAUGUAAUUAUUUUUUUAAUUCUUAUCAUCGUUAUGUCAUGUUAUGCAAGAUCAACCAAGAAGGAGACACUAUAGAGGCGUAAGGCAGCGACCGUGGGGAAAAUGGGCUGCCGAAAUCCGCGAUCCAAAGAAAGCAGCCCGUGUCUGGCUCGGGACUUUCGAGACAGCCGAAGAAGCUGCUUUAGCCUACGAUCGAGCCGCCCUCAAAUUCAAAGGCACCAAGGCUAAACUAAACUUCCCUGAACGGGUCCAAGGUCCUACUACUACUACAACCAUUACUCCUGCCACAAGAGGAGGCAGUGAAUCAAUGAACUCACCUCCUCCUCAUCAGCCUGCUCCAUCUUCUACUACUCCUUCGUGGCCAAUGAACUAUAACCAAGACAUUCUUCAAUACGCUCAAUUGCUUACGAGUAACAAUGAAGUUGAUUUAUCGUACUACACGUCGAGUCUCUUUAGUCAGCCUUUCUCAACGCCUUCUUCAUCUUCUUCUUCCUCCCAACAAACGCAACAACAACAGCAACAGCAGCAGCAGCGGGAGGAAGAAGAGAGGAGCUAUGGUUACCAUUAUUAUAACUACCCGAGAGAAUAAUCUAAUUUUCUAUAUUAUCGGUCGAAUCAGUUUCAUAAAUCGCCACCAUUUUCGUUUCAUUUUUCUAUUUUCCCAACCUUUGUUGCACCGAAAAUAUAAAAAAUGAACGAGAGGCAUAUGUAACAUUUUGCUUAAUUUUGUUUCGUUAAUGUUGGUAAAAUUUGGAUUUGCUGAAGUUUAAUAUUUCUGAGAUCCUACAAUCCGCCGGCCGUAUAUAUAAGCUUAAGCUUGCGUCAAAUAUAGUUUGAUUUCGGAUAAGGGUUGUUUUUAAAACAUAUAUAUACGGAUGAUGAUAUCAGCUUAUUGUUCUAAGAUUUUAAAGAACAUAACCCCUCUUCUUGUGUUCACAAUAUCACAUUCAUUAGACACAUGAUUUUGACGAUCGUUUCUGAAAACACGACUAAAUGAGAUCAAUUUUUAACAAGUUUUGUGUAGCAUAUUUGCAAUCCAAUCUUCUACAACUGUACAUCAAAUAUAUAUAAGUUUUUAAAAAAGAAUAUUUCGUUCUUUGACAUUGGCUCUUGAGAGCUAGCCAACAUUUUGUUCUAUAGCAUUGGCUCUUGAGAGCUAAGCAACAUAUUGACUCUUGAGAGCUAAGCAACAUAUUGACUCUUGAGAGCUAACCAACCCAUGCACACUAUGUAGUUUGCAUAGAUACUAAGAUGUUUUUGUAUUUUCACGUGCAAUUUUUAAAAUAAAUUUUUUUUUUAAGAGCUGCAGGGACAUUGCAGUUUGAUCUGAAUCAGAUAUCUAAAAAUAUAGUUUCAUAUCUUAUAAUUCAAACUUGACUACUCCCUGGAAAUGUUACAUUAAUUCGAUUUCCGAAAAGUCAAACUGUGUGGUUAUAGUGAACUAUAAAUCUUCUUAAUUUGGAAGUUUUUUUUCUUUUUUUUUUGGGGAAAUAUUUCAUUGUAGUUGAAAUGUGCUGAAAGAAUCAGAGACGAUCACUACGAAUAUCGCAAUCAGACUAAUCAUAUAAAGAAGAAAAAAACGUGUUCAACCUAGAAAUUAUAUCGAAAUCCCAAAACCAAAAAAAAGAGAGACUUAUCUGUCCACAUAUUCAUUCAUUCAUGUGUCUUUUUUUUUAGAACGCAUUUUGUGUACAUGCAUGAAUUGUACUAUAUAUCGAAUUAUCGAUUAUAUAAAUAUGCGUGGUUUAUGUUUUUUUCUCUUGUUAUUAUUAUUAUUAUUUGAUACAUGUGACAAUGUGAGAGUAGGACAAGGCAAACUUUGGUCUUGAGAUUUAGAUCGAGCUUGCCCCACCAAAUAUUAAACACCUCUUUGUAUAUAUCUUUUCAUUAUUCUCUAUCUCGCCUUCUAUUGGCCUUCCUCGUGAUCGUCUCAGAAUAUUUUCUGCAUAUAUUCCAAAUUAUAUCUUAACAUUUUUUUAUUUUUUUCUUUUUAAAAAAUUUAAAACACUUUUCAUUUUGUCCAAUAUUAAAAAUACUUCUUACCAAAAAAUAUAUAUUAAAAUACAUACAUGUUCAUCUGAAACGUAUUUAGUUUUUUUUAAAAAAAAAAUAAAGUUGAAUACGCAUAUAUAAAAGUUAAAUAUUUGAGAAAUUGAAAUUAUGAAAUUAAAUUUUUCUCCGGGCUCUAUAUAGAAAAUAAAAUAUUAUGAACCUAAAUUUGUACUUUUUGGUUUAAGGAAAACAUAUAGAGAUCUAUGUAAUGGUUAUUUGCUCAACUUUGUUUCAGGGUUUGGUCAAUUCUAAAAAUAUGGGUGGGGUGAUAAUAUUUAUAUUGAUGCUAUAGAUGAGAUGAUUUAGUGGAAAGGAGAAGUAAAGAGGUUUCUACAGAGUAACGAAAGGCAUGCGCGCAAAAGGCAAAUGGGAAAUUUGGGUCGCGUCCCACUUUGGUUUUACGUCAAGUGUAUAUCGAGGGCCAUGCUCCAGAUCCCCAUGACCCAGUCUAAUCAUAUGCAUCUUUCAAUCCCAGUUUCGAUCUCUUCUAGCUACCAUUUCUUUUCUUUUUUUUUCUCUCUCUCUUUCUAACAAAAAACUUAAAUAAUAUUUUAAAGUUUAACACUACGCGACGAUGACACGUCUUUUUCACAGUGAUAUUUUUCUCAACUCGAUUCUCUAUAGUGUUCCCGAAACGAUCAUCUUUUAUUUAAUGAUUUUAGGUAAGUUAUUUUCAAGAAAAUCCUUGUUUUGAUAUUGACUUGGUUGGACGUACGGUAUUAUCUGACAAUGAGAGACUUUUUUUUUGGUUUUUAAUGAUGCUUUCGGCUUAGAAAAUGUCAAAUAUUGCGGCUAAGCUGCUUUCCGUUGAUUCCGUUGACAGUGGAACUCCCCCCAGAUCACAAUGAUGAUCCUCGCAUGCACCAUGAAGAUCGCACUUCUUAAUUACUAUAUAAGAGAAUAUGUGCACACUUAUGCAGAUUAGAUCAUUUCAAUCAGUAUAUAGUCAUGUACGUGCAUCACCUUUAUUUAUCUCAAAUAUUCAUUCAUCUCCUCUUGUGGGGUAUGUUAGUAACUAGCCUCGUAGCUAUCAAAAACAUAAGAAAACAAAUGAGUAUGAGAAAGACUUUGUAACUGUGGUCCCAAUUCCCAAAUUGCAGAUUUUUAAAAUUUUGUAGAUGACUUUUUGGACUUGAAUUGGCACAAUUUUAGAAAUUGUUUCCUCUAUAUAUCUGUCUUACAAAGUCGAAAGAAUUAUUUAAAUUUUAUAUAGGUUCUCUUUUGUCAAAUAUUUCUUUUAGUAUUAUGGUUAUACUUAAAAGAAAAAAAAUACAUAAUAUGACAAUUGACAAGAGUAAUAAGAAGCUCCAUGGAAGUCUCUCUAUCUACUUAAUUUACAUUUUUAAAAAGGCUUUUUGAUCAGAUCCAGCCCGGCCCAGCCAUCAAAAAUCUGUGCCAGCCAAAAGCCCGCCAAAGUUAUUAUAAAGCAUUGUAUUGUUGUCCUUCAUUCUUUAGAAACAAGGAUAUGUAGUUAGAAUACUAAUCCAACGGGAAUUGCAUUUUUUCUUCCAAUGAUAAACAUAAGUGAAACAACAAAGCUCAAAUGGAAGGGUCAGCUAAAUACUGUAGUACGAGUCAACUGUAUCUUUCUAUACUCUGAUACAUGUAUCAAAUGCUCCUUCAAACUUGACUCUCAUUAAUCAAGGUUUUCCUUAAUUAUAAACCCAUUCAAAAAUGCAACUUAGAUCGUGAUCUGUUUCCAUUUGAUAACUUUCUGGAAUUUCUGAUCUCUUCUUCUUCUUCUUCCAGCUUUUUUCUCCUUGCAGCCUCCUCCUUCUGUCUCUGCAACUGCUCCAAUUCUCUAUACCUUUCCUCUUCUUUACGUUGAAGCUCCAUUGCUUCUCUCCUCUGAGAUUCUUCAACCCUCCUACUAUUUUCUUCUAACAUCUUAUCCAGCUCCUCUCUCUCUCUCCGAGCUUGUUCCUUUAAUUAUUUCCCCAGUUUUUACUUUAGGCCUCUAUUCCAAAACCAUAAAACCAAACAAACAGAGCAACAACAUAAACAAACAGCUAGACUUACUUCUUUUUUUCUUGCCUCGUUUAGAGCAGCUUCUUUUUCUUUCUUCAGCUGUAUUUCCACAUCAAGAAACACCUUUUCAUAGGCUUCCUUUGUCCGCCUUUCUACUUCUUCUUUAACUUCUUUGCUUUUCAUCCUUUCCUCCACAUUUUUCCUCACUGCUUCCUCGAUCCGGCGUGCAGUCUCUUCUUCUAGCCGUUUUAGCUCAGCCUCAUGCUGCAAUCUUAGUUUACCAGGAAAAAUAAUAAUAGUCAGUUAAGAAUUAGACCAACUCUGUCAACACUAGCCAAGAGAAAGUUUUAAAGAUCAGAUCAUUUUCAAAUGCAUAAAUUGAUCAGUAAUUCUUCUUCUAACAGCUCAAAAACUAAUCAAUUUAGAUAAGGAGACAAAACUCUACUUCUGUUAACAUUUCUCACAGCCGACAUUUCAAAUUACGCCAAUAAACAUAAUAGAGCUAUACUUCGAGAAAUAGAUUACCUUCAAUUUGCUCACUAGCAAAAAAUUUCCUAGAGAUGUAUAUGCUCGUUCAUUUAAGGUUACAAUAUUCCACAUAGCCCAUAGAUAUGUCACUGUGAACAACAAACUUUACUCAAUACUUGCAUAUGCUAGUUUAAUGUGAAGGAACUUUUAUAUAUCUCCCAACCUGGAAAACGACUCCCACGGAAACAAAAUGCUAUAUUGCCUCAAACACAAAACUGGGAAAGCAUACUGCAAACUGAAAGACAGAAAAAACAUUAAACCAAUUACCUAGCCUUCUCCUCCUGUUCUUUCUUCACUUCAAUCGCAAUUUUAUGCUCGGAAGGCGAAGAUGAACUACUUCUAUUCCUUUGGCGUUGCCUCGGUGUAGGAGAUCUGCUCUUCUUGUGCCUACAAAAAUUUGGAGACCUACUGUUAUGAAGAUGUGUUAAACUAGAGCAGCUUCUUCUAAUCUACUACACUAAGCAGCUAAAUAACGAACUAUAAUGGAUAUCUUAAGUCAUUCGCAAAACAACAAAGAUCCAAAUUAUGACAUAAAUUGGUUAAAACCCUAAUCCUAAUUCCCAACAUCACCAUAAGUUUCGAGAUUCGCUUAUCCACAUCUAUCUCACAUAUCUAAGGUAAGAAAAGAUUUGUUGCAGACCUUGAUUGGUAGGGCGAGCGGCUGCGGUCGCGCCUGGUACGACGGCUGCUACGAUGAGUGACAGGCGAGCGAGAGUAUCGUCGGCGGUGAGACGGCGACCUAGAUCGCGAGUCGUUUCGAGCCAUUCUCACCCUCGCAGUGAUAUGAUUGGUCAAUGAGGUUUUCUCACCAAAUUGAUGAUUUGAUCGGUUCAAUGUGUUUUAUUAACCGAACAGACCCAAGUUGAACCGACUUUGUUUCCGGUUCAAUUCAAUCAUUUCUUUUUUUUUACAAAGAAUUCAAAUAAUUUUUUUUGGUAAUAAGAAUUCAAACAACAUGGUAACAUUGUAAUAAAUCAAAAAAAAAAAAAAAAACAUUGUAAUAAAUCCUUGUAAGAAUGGGAUAUCGUAAUCUUUCUAAAAAUGGAGUAUUUAUAGUAUUAUCUUUGCUUAUUUUGUUAAUUAAUCCUAUUUAUGGAAAAAGAACAAAUCUUACGGCAACGAACAUAUCGCCACACCACACUCUUUGACAGUUUGACUGCUUUCUCUAAUCUCUUCUCCAAAGCUCAUUCAACGACCUCGCUAGAACAAAGGUAAUUGCUCUUCACACUUUUGUAAACAAUUUCGUUAUGACUUAAAAAAAAAGGUUUUUGUUCUUUUUCUACUUGUUGCAGUUGCAGGCAAUCAAAGCAGCGAGCAAGCAUGUUGCCAAGGUUCGAUUUAACUGACCCUAAAGCUGCCCUGUCUCUUCUUGAGGAUGUGACCACCAACGUAAAUCAGAUUCAAGAUUCCGUCUUGGAGGCAAUACUUUCACGUAAUGCUCAAACCGAGUAUCUUGGAGGUUUCCUCAACGGUCAAGUCGAUAAGCAAAGCUUCAAGAAGAACGUACCUGUUGUGACCUACGAAGACUAUAGGUCUUAUAUCGAUCGUAUAACUAAUGGAGAGCCAUCUGAUAUCAUCUGUGAUCAACCCAUCAGUGUACUUUUGGCCCAGUGCCUUCAAAUUAAACGAUCCACCCUUUCUCUUUUCUUUUUUCUUUUUUUUGGCAUAUGUGAUAACUACAACAGUUUCAAAGUUGUGUAUAUGCAAGAUUCGGAGGGAUUUAGACAAAUUUAUUGAAGAGAGAGAGACUCGAAAGUAAUUUGGCUUAGUCUCUCACAUAGUUACAUACCGACCCACAUGCACAUGCAAAUUCAUGUAAAGAACAUAACCAAAAAAAACACUUAAGAGGAAAUUUGGUUUGAAACUUGUUGAUACUUGAGUUUGAUAAUCUUGAAUAGUAUACGUUAAAAGAAGUAUAGAAUAUAUAAAGAAAUAAGGAAGCUACUGGUUUUGCAGCUCGGGUACUUCAGCUGGAGUUCCAAAGUUUAUUCCUCUGACAGCAGAGGAACUGGAACAGAGGAUUUCGUUUGGAUCUCUGUAUAGAGCUCUACUCUACAAGUAAAGAGCCCUAAACUCCAACUUGUGCCUGUUUAAGUAAAACCAAAAAGUCCAUACCCCAUUGUUGUUACUUGUUUGCAGGCACAUCAAAGGGCUUAACCAAGGAAAAUGUCUCACAUUCUAUUUUGUGACCGGAGAAAUCAAAACUGUCUCUGGGCUAAUGGGCAUGUCUAUGAUAACUUGUAUUUUGAAAAGAGUGAACACAACCAACUCAUUUCUUUGGUGAAUCAAUAAAACCUUUGCUCUCACGUUACAAAAGUGUGAACAUGCCCCUUGUUGCUGCUACUACUGUUUCCUUAUUGUGUUUGUUAUCAUGCAGGGAUAAAUUACAGGUAAGCCCGCAUGAAAUUGCGACUUGCGUAGACACUACUCAGAGCAUGUACUGCCAAUUGCUUUGUGGGCUUCUACAGCGGGAUAAUGUAGCUCGCCUUGGUGCACCUUUUGCUUCUUCCUUCGUCAAAGUAAUCAAAUUCUUAGAAAACCACUGGCAUGAAUUAUGCUCAAACAUAAGUACGGGCAGUCUCAGUGACUGGAUCACAAACGCCCAAUGUGUUUCAGGGGUUGGUAAGAUCCUCACCGCUCCAAAUCCGGACCUAGCGAACCUGAUCGAACAAGAAUGCAGUAAAACAUCAUGGGAGGGAAUAGUGAUGAGACUAUGGCCAAAAGCAAAAUGCAUCGAAGGCAUCAUUACCGGCACCAUGGCACAGUACAUUCCAGUGAUGCAAUUCUAUGGUGGCAGUCUUCCCUUAAUCUCGUCGUGGUAUGGCGGCUCGGAGAGUUUCGUCGGUGUCAAUAUCAAUCCUCUGUGCAAGCCUAGUGAUGUGUCGUACACCAUCAUCCCAAGUAUGGGGUACUUCGAGUUCUUAGAGGUCGAGAAAGACCACCAAAAAACUUGUCAUGAUCCCGCAGAGAACCCUGUGGUCGUCGAUCUUGUAGACGUUAAAAUUGGCCAUGAUUAUGAACUUGUUGUCACAACGUUGUCUGGUAAGUCUUCUUCUUCUUCACUCUCUCCUUAAAACAAAAUGUAUUUAAGACUUUGCUGUAGAGUUCUUGCUUUUUUAAAAAUGAUAGAAGACAAAAUAGACAUUUUAACUGCGUUUCUUGAUCUAUCUCUCUCACAAGACCUCUAUAUGAUUUUUACAGGUCUUUAUAGGUAUCGUGUGGGGGAUGUUUUACGAGUGACUGGUUUCCACAAUAAUUCGCCACAUUUUCGUUUCGUGGGAAGACAUAAAGUUGUUCUGAGCAUCGGCAUGGACAAGACCUAUGAAGAAGACCUCCUCAAGGCGGUGACAAAGGCGAAGCUCCUACUAAAGCCAUACGACUUAAUGCUCAUGGAUUUUACUAGCCGUGUGGAUUGUUCCUCGUUUCCAGGUCACUACGUGCUCUACUGGGAACUCGGGAGCAAAAUCAAGGAUUCAAAGUUCGUGCUAGACCCGAAUAUGUUGGAGGAAUGCUGUUUGACCAUUGAAGAGUCUCUCGACACUGUGUACAGAAAAGAACGAAAAUAUGAUAAGAACAUUGGAGCACUUGAGAUUAAGGUUGUUAGGAGUGGCACUUUUGACGAGCUCAUGAAUUUCUCCGUGUCUCGAGGCUCUUCUCUGAGUCAGUACAAGACACCUCUAUCGGUGACGAAUGAAGAGUCCUUGAAGAAAUUGGAGGCGAACGUUGUUUCUGAGUCUUUUAGCCGCAAAACUCCAUCGUGGGAGCUACAUGAGAUGUACCCCGGCCGAUGAAACCGACGUUACAUUAUUUCGUAUACAUGGUUGGUUAUUAAUUACUAUUGUUUUCCUUUUUGAAAAGGAUACGUGUUUAUAAUUGCCGUUUUAUUAUAAAAUUGCAGAAUGGACAAAAAAAAAAAGUCACAAUCGAGGACAAAAAUGAAAAAUGUGAUGCAUCAAAUAUUUGUAUGUAUCACAACCCCCGUAAAGCUUAGGUCUUAUCUCCUCGUAGUUUGCAUUGUUGUCUCCUUCUAGAAAAAGAACAAAGCUGUUUUUAUCAAUAUCCUUAAUCCACGGCAAAUCAAACAUUUCGCUACAUCACACCCUUUGCUGUCUUCCAAAAAUUUCAAGCGUAGAGAGAGAGAGACGGAGGCCAGAGCUCAUCCAGCCCCCUCGCCAGAACAAAGUUAGUUUUUUUUCUUUCACUGUUUGUAAGCAAUUUAGAGUCAAGGUUUUUUGCUUUUUGUUGCAGACAGUCAUAUCAUGUUACCAAGGUUCGACCCAACAAACCCAGAAGCUUGCUUGUCUCUUCUUGAGGAUGUUACCACAAACGUAAAGCAAAUUCAAGACUCCGUCUUGGAAGCAAUACUUUCACGUAAUGCUCAUACAGAGUAUCUUAGAGGCUUCCUCAACGGUCAAGUCGAUAAGCAAAGCUUCAAGAAGAACCUGCCCGUUGUGACCUACGAAGAUAUUAAGCCUUAUAUAGAUCGUAUAGCUAAUGGAGAGCCGUCUGAUCUCAUCUGUGAUCGACCCAUCAGUGUACUCUUGACCAGGUACCUUCACAAGGAUCCCCUUUUUCUGAACCUUGGAAUCUCCUUUUGCAGAUUCAAAGCAAAAGUUUCUUCUGCUAUGUGAAUCUGUGAUAACUAAAACUAAUUCUCGAAGUUUUGUGUAUAGAAGUUUAAUGGAAGAUUUAAAGGAAUUUAUAUGCUUCCACAUUUAGAUAAAUUGUUGACUAAAAUUUCUAGAAGAGUCUUGAAAUCUAGGAGUCUUGGUUGAAAACUUGUUAAUACAUGAGUUUGUUACUGUCAAAAAUUUUACAAGUAUAGUUAACCUUGUAGAAUCCGUAAAGAGUUAAGUACACAAUUGUAUUUGCAGCUCCGGUACUUCAGGAGGAGUUCCAAAGUUGAUUCCUUUGACAACAGAGGAUUUGGUACAGAGGAUCUCGCUUGCAUCUCUCUAUAGACCUCUACUCUACAAGUAAAGGGUUCUAAACUCCAACUUGUGUCUGUUUUAUUCACACCAGAAAAAAAAAAGAGUUAGGUUUAACCCAAAACUCUUUUGUAUAUGCGGUUUGUAGGCACAUUGAGGGGGUUAAAGAAACAAAAUCCCUCUUGUUUUAUUUUGUGAGCCGAGAGAGCGAGACAGCCUCUGGGAUAUUGGUCAGGACUAUGAUAACUAGUGUUUUGAAAAGCGUGACGCCAGAAACCAAAUAUAUCUGGUAAAUCAAUAGAACCUUUGCUCCCAUAGUACAACAUUACACAAUUCACUCUUUCUGCUAGUGCGUGUGUUUUUUAUUAGCGCUUGACUAAUUUGCGGGGCUGAACAUGUCCCUUGGUGCUGAGACGGUUUCUUUAUUGUGUUUGACAUGUGACUUACAGGGAUCAAACACAGGUAAGCCCGCAUGCAAUUUCGACUUGUGCAGACACUACUCAGAGCAUGUACUGCCAGUUGCUUUGUGGGAUUCUACAACGAGAUAAUGUAGGUCGCCUCGGUGCACCCUUUGCUUCUACAUUCCUCAAAGUAAUAAAGUUCUUGGAAGAUCACUGGCCUGAGUUAUGCUCAAACAUUAGGACUGGCCGUCUCAGCGACUGGAUCACAGACGCUCAAUGUGUUUCAGGGAUCAGUAAGUUCCUCACCGCUCCAAAUCCCGAACUAGCUAGCCUGAUUGAGCAAGAGUGCAGCAAAACUUCAUGGGAAGGUAUAGUGAGGAGACUAUGGCCAAAAGCAAAAUGCAUUGAAGCCAUCGUUACCGGCUCCAUGGCACAGUACAUUCCAUUGCUGGAAUUUUAUAGCGGCGGUCUUACUGUCAUCUCAACGCUUUACGGAAGCUCUGAAUGUACCAUCGGUGCUAAUUUUAAUCCUCUGUGUAAGCCUAGUGAUGUGUCGUACACCAUCAUUCCAAGUAUGGGGUACUUCGAGUUCUUGGAGGUCGAGAAAGACCAUCAAGAAACUGGUCAUGAUCCCAUGGAGAAACAUGUGGUCGUCGAUCUUGUCGAUGUUAAAGUCGGCCAUGAUUAUGAACCUGUUCUCACAACGUUUUCUGGUAAGCCAUUUUCAUGUUUACUCUUUUUAUAUCAAAACCAAUGUCGUUAUAGAACUUGUUUCAAAAUCCUUGUUUUACAAAAUGAUUCAAGACCAAAAUAAACAUUUCAGUUUUUUUUUUUGUUCUCAGAAGAUCUGUUACAUUUUUUUUACAGGUCUGUACAGGUACCGUGUGGGGGACGUUUUAAGAGUGACUGGUUUCUACAACAAUGCGCCACAGUUUCAUUUCGUGGGAAGACAGAAAGUUGUUCUGAGCAUCGACAUGGACAAGACCAGUGAAGAAGACCUGCUUAAGGCAGUGACAAACGCGAAGCUCCUGCUCGAGCCACAUGACUUGAUGCUCAUGGAUUUCACUAGCCGUGUAGAGUCCUCCCCGUUUCCAGGACACUACGUACUCUACUGGGAACUCGGUAGCAAAGUCAAGGAUGCAAAGCUCGAGCCCAACCCGAAUGUUUUGGAGGAAUGCUGCUUCACCAUUGAGGAGUCUCUCGACCCUGUUUACAGAAAAGGACGAAAGAAUGAUAAGAACAUUGGACCACUUGAGAUUAAGGUUGUUAAGCCUGGCGCUUUUGACGAGCUCAUGAACUUUUUUGUGUCUCGAGGCUCUUCUCUGAGUCAGUACAAGACACCGAGGUCGGUGACGAAUGAAGAAGCCUUGAAGAUAUUGGAAGCGAACGUUGUGUCCAAGUUCCUUAGCCGGAAAACUCCAACGUGGGAGCUACAUGAGCUCUACUCCAGCCGCUAAAAGCCUAAAACCACCGUCACAUUAUCCGUGAGACUUCAUGGGCAGGGGAAAUAUUAUUUAAGAAUUUUAUCACUUCUAAAUACUUCCAAUUCUGCCAUUGUUAUAUUUCAAAACCAUAAUUAGGUCGAGGUCAAACUCAUUGGUAUAAAUAAAAUUAAGAUUACUUGCGCUGGGGUAUAUAUAUAUAUAUAUAUAUUUUUUAAAAAAUAAUACAAAACUUGUAUGGUACUAAUUGAACCCAACCCAUAAUAAUGCUUAACUUGCCUCCGCGCCCUUGUCGGAAACUCAUCCUAAAUUUUUGACACACGAUAUUUUUGCCAGAUCACACCCUUUAUCUGCAGGCGAGACAGAGAGAGAGAGAAAGAGGCCACAGCUCAUCCACUGCGCCAGAACAGAGGUUUGUUCUUUCACUCUUUCGUAACAAUCUCGUGAUCCACAAGAGACGAUAAGACUAUUGCUUUUAAUGCAGACAAUAAAAAAAGCAGCAAACAUGUUGCCAAAGUUCGAUCCAACAAACCCAAUAGCCACCAUGUCUCUUCUUGAGGAUGUGACGACCAACGCAAAGAAGAUUCAAGAUUCUGUGUUGGAAGCAAUACUUUCACAUAAUGCCCAGACAGAGUACCUUAGAGGUUUCCUCAACGGUCAACUCGAUAAGCAGAGCUUCAAAAAGAGCCUACCCGUUGUGACCUACGAAGAUAUUAAGCCUUAUAUUGAUCGUAUCGCUAGUGGAGAGCCGUCUGAUCUCAUUUGCGAUCGACCUAUCAAUCUGCUCUUGGCCACGUACAUUCAGAACAAUACUCUUAAUUCCUCUUUGUUUCAAAACUUUUUGAUACAUAAGUUUGUUAAUCUUCAAUAGUGUACAUUACACUGAAGUGUAUAAUAAAGUGAUUGGUUUUGCAGCACGGGUACUUCUGGAGGAGUUCCAAAGUUGAUUCCUUUGACAGCAGAGGACUUGGAACAGAGGAUAUUGUUUGGAUUUCUCUAUGCACCUCUAGUCUUCAAGUAAAGAGUUCAAAACUCCAAUCUCUUUUGUUGAUACAAAAAAAGAGUAAGCAAAAACCAGACCUGUUGUUGCUAUUGAAUGUAGGCACAUCGAGGGGCUUACCCAAGGCAAAUCUCUCAUGUUUUAUUUCGUGACCCGAGAAAGCGAGACUGCCUCUGGUUUGAUGGUCAGGUUUAUGAUAACUUGUGUUUUGAAAAGCGUGAACCCAACCAACUCUUUUCUUUGGUAAUCAAUAAACCUUUUGCUCCUACAUUACAUUACACAUUUCACUCUUUUUUUUCUGCUAGUGAUAUUUUUUUUUGUUGGGUUUCACAAAUUCCCAAGACUAAUCUCAGGGUGAACAUGUUCCUUCGAAAGUGUUUAUUUAUUUAUUUAAAUGUGUUUGUUAUACGAUUUACAGGGAUAGAGUACAGAUAAGCCCCCAUGCGAUUGCGACUUGUGAAGACACUAAUCAGGGGAUGUACUGCCAAUUGCUUUGUGGUCUUCUACAACGCCAAAAUGUAGCUCGCCUAGGUGCACCCUAUGCUUCUUCCUUCCUCAAAGUAAUCAAGUUUUUUGAAGAUCAUUGGCAUGAGUUAUGCUCAAACAUAAGGACUGGCCGUCUCAGUGACUGGAUCACUGACCCCCAAUGUGUUUCCGGGAUCAGUAAGUUCCUUACCGCUCCAAAUCCGGAACUAGCGACUGUGAUCGAGAAAGAAUGCAGCAAAACCUCAUGGGAGGCAAUACUGAGGAGAAUAUGGCCAAAAGCAAAAUGCAUAGAAGCUGUCGUUACCGGCACCAUGGCACAGUACAUUCCAUUGCUGGAAUUCUAUGGCGGCGGCCUUCCUUUGAUUUCAUCUUGGUAUGGCAGCUCAGAAUGUUUCAUCGGAAUCAAUCUCAAUCCUCUGUCUAAGCCUAGUGAUGUGGCGUACACCAUCAUUCCAAGCAUGGGGUACUUUGAGUUUAUAGAGGUCGUGAAAGACCGUCAAGAAGCUGGUCAUGUUCCCGCAGACCCUGUGGUCGUCGAUCUUGUCGAUGUUAAAAUUGGCCAUGAUUAUGAACUUCUUGUCACAACGUUUUCUGGUAAGUUUCUUUACUCUCCGUUUCAAAAUAAAACUAUAUCUAUAUGUUGUUUCUCUAACAAUAUAAAUGUAUGAUUUACAGGUCUGUAUAGGUAUCGUUUAGGGGAUGUUUUACGAGUGACUGGUUUCCACAACAAUUCGCCACAGUUUUAUUUUGUGGGAAGACAGAAAGUUGUUCUGAGCAUCGACGUAAGCAAGACCUACGAAGAAGACCUCCUCAAGGCAGUGUCAAACGCAAGUCUCUUGCUCGAGCCACAUGACCUGAUGCUCAUGGAUUUCACUAGCCGUGUGGAUCUCUCCUCUUUGCCAGGACACUACGUGCUCUACUGGGAACUCGGGAGCAAAUUCAAGAACGCCAAGCUCAAGCCGGACCGCAAUGUCAUGGAGGAAUGUUGCGUCACCGUUGAGGAGGCUCUCGACUCUGUGUACAGAAAAGGACGAAAGAAUGAUACAAUCAUUGGACCACUCGAGAUUAAGGUUGUUAAACCAGGCGCUUUCGAUGAGCUCAUGAAUUUGUUCUUGUCUCGAGGCUCUUCUGUGAGUCAGUACAAGACUCCGAGGUCAGUGACGAAUGAAGACGCUUUGAAAAUACUCGAGACCAAUGUUGUUUCCAAGUUUCUUAGCCGGAAAACUCCGUCGUGGGAGAUACAUGAGCUACAUUCCAGCCGAUAAAACCGCCGUUACAUAAUGUGUGAGAGAGACUUAGAAAAAAGGGAAAUGAUAAUUAAAGAAUAACAAAUCCCGUAACAUAUAUAACAGAUAGUAACGUUAACAUACAUAAUCUAUCUCCUAAUUUAUCAUACUAGUUAUAAAAUAUUAUAAGUCCGUUAUAUAAUCUUCUAUGAAUCGUUUUUAUGUUGGUCCACAAUGCUCAUAAAUUAGUGGUUUAGUCCACCAUUAUUGGUGGUCUAAAUGCUUAACACGACAAUUAGCAGUGACUCUUAACGGUGCCGUCGUGACUCCUGCGUGAUUCACUUCAUCACUUGUGUCGUCACUUCAAAUAAAACGACUGCGUUUUAACUUACUGUUCAGUAGAUUUUAGAGAGCCCCAGUAGUAAAAGAUCCAAUGGCUACGAUUCAUCUGGACACGUCACGGUUUCCGCGAAAUCAACACACAGAUCCUUUCUUCCAUCAGUAAACGGCGAGACUCGCCAUCAAUCUGUAUUCCAAAGUAAAUAUUCCGGCGACGAUGAUGCCACCGGAGCUACAGCCGCGGCUGUUCCGGCCGCAUAUAACCUCUGCCUCUGGUGAACCGACUGUGUCCUCUUCCUCUUACUCCCCUCACAUAAGCCCUGCCUCCACCAGAAACUUCAUCGAUCGAGCUACUCCUAGUUCGAGAUCCAACAACUCCCGAUUCUCUCCGUCUUCCUUCGCCUACAAUGGACGGAUCGCAAUUGCUCUUGUCCCAUGCGCCGCCUUCCUCCUCGACCUCGGCGGCGCUCCGGUUGUCGCUACCCUCACGAGUGGCCUCCUUAUCUCCUAUAUCGUUGAUUCUCUCAAUGUCAAAUUCGGAGGCUUCCUUGGUAUAUGGAUGUCACUGAUCGCUGCUCAGAUCUCAUUCUUCUUCUCCUCUUCUCUCCUUUCCUCCUUCAAUUCCGUACCUCUUGGCUUGCUCGCGGCUUUUCUCUGCUCUGAGACUACUUUCCUCAUCGGCUGCUGGACCUCGCUCCAAUUCAAAUGGCUUCAGCUAGAGAAUCCUUCCAUUGUCGUCGCUCUGGAACGUCUCUUGUUCGCCUGCGUCCCGUUCACUGCCUCUUCGUUUUUCGCAUGGGCUACCAUCUCUGCCGUUGGGAUGAACAACUCUUCUUACUAUUACCUCUUGUUCGCCUGCGUCUUCUAUUGGAUUUUCGCUAUUCCGAGGGUUUCUUCGUUCAAGACCAAGCAGGAAGUUAAGUACCAUGGAGGAGAGAUCCCUGAUGAUAGCUUUAUCCUUGGACAGCUCGAGAGCUGUUUCCUUUCACUGAAUUUGAUGUUUAUGCCGCUUCUCUUUCACGUGGCUUCACAUUACUCCGUGAUAUUCUCAUCAGCUGCUUCACUUUGUGAUUUGCUGCUUCUGUUCUUUAUCCCAUUCCUGUUCCAGCUCUAUGCUUCGACAAGAGGUGGUCUCUGGUGGGUUACCAAGGAUUCCCAUCAGCUGCAGAGCAUUCGGAUUGUGAAUGGGGCCAUUGCCAUGGUCAUUAUUGUGAUCUGUUUGGAGAUUAGAGUCGUUUUCCGGUCUUUUGGGAAGUAUAUUCAAGUGCCCCCUCCAUUGAACUACCUUCUGGUGACCACAACAAUGCUCGGAGGUGCUGCUGGCGCUGGUGCUUCUGUUCUUGGAAUGAUCUCGGGUGCUCUGAGCUCAGCCUUUUUCACAGCUUUGUCUGUGAUUGUGAGUUCUGCAGGAGCUAUCGUUGUAGGAUUUCCAGUUCUGGUAAGUAUUUCUCUUCCCUUGCACAGUAUGUCCUUGAGCUUUCCUGUAAUCAAAUUUUAAUUUCAAUUAGACAACUGGUAUCCCGUGAAAUUCGUCUCAUUAGGCUAGCUACCAGAGUCGUAUGUUAUUUACUAGCUGGUUUAGGAAUGGAAAAGUUGUGGUAUUUUCUUUUAUAUAUGACUCUGAAUGCCGUAGUUCCUAAAUUAGAUUGCAAAAAUGUUUACAAAACUAAUACUUUAGCAUGUGUUUAAAGUUUGUAAUGUCGCAUGGUCCAAUAAGUUUUGAUUCUAACGUAAUGUAUGAUAUAUAGACUAAGGCAUAUGUUGACAGUUUACUGUUUUUCCUUCUCUACGUGGGCUUCCUAUCAAUCCACACGCUAUUUAUUCGGUAAAGAAUGUUGACUUGUAUGUGGUCGCUGACAUCUGUCAUAGUAGUCUUGUAGAAUUUGCUCCUGCAAGUUGUUAUAGUUGCUUUACUCUUUACCGCUUUCAAGUAAAUCAUGUGUCCAUCUAUGAAGGUUUUCUAUAUGAAAGUUGACAUAUCGUAUUCCAUAAUUUGCCUCAUUUGUUAUCUCCUGUCAUUGAUUUAUGAUCCCUUUUUAGUAACAAUGGAAUUUCUGUUCUCUGUUUAUCUUGCAGUUUACCCCGCUUCCUGCAGUCGCUGGGCUUUAUUUUGCUCGAUUUUUUACAAAGAAAAGUGUGCCCUCUUACUUUGCAUUUGUUGCCCUUGGAAGCUUAAUGGUUAUAUGGUUCGUCAUGCAUAAUUACUGGGAUUUAAACAUAUGGUUAGCCGGCAUGUUCCUCAAAUCAUUCUGUAAGCUUAUAGUGGCUAACAUUAUCAUAGCCAUGGUGAUUCCUGGUCUUGUUCUUCUUCCAUCAAAGUUUCACUUCUUGACUGAAGCUGGUUUGGUGGCCCACGCAUUAUUGCUGUGUUACAUUGAGGACCGCUUUUUCAAUUACUCAAGCAUAUACUAUUAUGGAAUGGAAGACGAUGUGAUGUACCCCAGCUACAUGGUUAUCUUGACGACACUAAUAGGAUUGGCUGUCGUGAGAAGACUAUUUGCUGAUCACCGGGUUGGACAAAAGGCAGUCUGGAUACUGACCUGUCUGUACUCAGCAAAGUUGGCCAUGCUCUUCCUAUCAUCGAAAUCAAUUGUAUGGGUGUCUGCAGCUCUAUUGCUGGCUAUUUCCCCUCCCCUCCUGCUAUACAAGUAUGCACUGGGAAUUUAACUUUUAAGAGCAUUGGCUCAUCUUGAAUUUUAUAUUUGAUUUUAAGUUGUUCCAUUGGUGGAAUGUGCAGGGAGAAGUCAAAAUCUGCCUCUAAAAUGAAACCAUGGCAAGGUUAUGCUCAUGCUGUAGUGGUUGCUGUCUCUGUUUGGUUUUGCCGGGAAACAAUAUUUGAUGCUCUGCAGUGGUGGAAUGGAAGACCUCCUACUGAUGGUUUGCUUCUUGGUUUCUGCAUCGUUUUAAUUGGUCUAGCCUGUAUACCAAUUAUUGCCCUCCACUUUUCGCAUGUCUUGGUAUGUCUGUUAUACUAUAUGCAUAUGUUUUGUUUGAUGUAUUUCUGUCUGCUUAUUUCGGAAAAGAACCUAUUCUUAGGUGGGGACGUAAGCACAUCAACAUUUCUAUAGCAAGCCGUUCGUUUAACAUGUUAUGAGUUUGUUGGUUUCUAUCAGAGGUUACAUCAUAGAGCAUAAAAAGAAUGCUCUAUUUACCGGCUUGCUAAAGAAAUUGUUGUUUUAAAGGAGAAAAUUCUUUACCUGUAUUCUUGAAAGCAUUCAUUUCGUGUUUUAAAACCUCCAUUUUAACUCCAUGAAGAAAUUAGACGGUAUCUAAUUAUAGUCAUGAUGGAGAGUGUAUCAGUUUUAGUAAAUGCUGGAUUCUAAGGUCUUCGUGUAAAGAUUUCAGUUGUUGCUUUAUACUGACGAGGACAAUUUUAUUAUUAUAUUUUGCAGUCAGCUAAAAGAAGCUUGGUAUUAGUAGUGGCAACUGGAUGCAUGUUUAUUCUGAUGCAACCACCAAUGCCUAUGACAUGGAGUUACCAUUCGGAUAUGAUUAAGGCCGCUCGCCAGUCAGCUGAUGACAUCUCCAUCUAUGGAUUCAUGGCAUCCAAACCGACUUGGCCGUCGUGGUUGCUUAUUGUGUCACUUCUGUUGAUACUUGCUGCUGCCACAUCUCUUAUCCCAAUCAAAUACGUGGUAGAACUGAGAGCAUUUUAUUCCAUUGCCAUGGGUUUAGCUCUUGGUGUUUACAUAUCUGCAGAGUUCUUUCUACAAGCUGCUAUUUUACAUGCCCUGAUCGUUGUAACAAUGGUGUGUGCCUCAGUUUUUGUCAUCUUCACCCAUUUCCCAUCUGCCUCAAGCACAAAGCUGCUUCCCUGGGUGUUUGCUCUUCUCGUGGCUCUUUUUCCCGUGACAUAUUUGUUAGAAGGGCAAGUCAGAAUUAAAACCGAUCUUAGCGAUAAUGAUGCCUGGAAUUGGGAUACAAGGGAGGAGGAUAAGAAAGUCACAACCAUGUUGGCCAUUGAAGGUGCAAGAACAUCUCUUCUAGGCCUCUAUGCAGCGAUAUUUAUGCUUAUAGCUCUCCUGAUUAAAUUUGAGCUCUCUUCACUUUUGCGUGAGAAAUUCUCGGAGAGGAGUGGUCAGUCAAAAACCCAUGGUGGUGCAAGAGGGAUUUUCCCGACACGAAUGAGGUUGAUGCAGCAACAUCGAGCCACCUCGAUCCAAAGCUUUGCAGUAGAGAAGAUUUCAGAAGAGGGAGCAGCAUGGAUGCCUGCAGUUGGUAACGUUGCCACCAUCAUGUGCUUUGUCAUAUGCAUAAUCCUCAACCUCCACCUCUCUGGCGGCUCAAGCCAAGCGAUAUUCUUCCUGGCUCCAAUCUUACUUCUCCUGAACCAAGACUCUGAUCUCUUAUCUGGGUUUGGUGAUAAACAAAGAUACUUCCCAGUUACAGUAGCCAUAUCAACAUACUUGGCACUAUCCUCUCUCUACACUGUUUGGGAAGAAGUUUGGUUCGGUGGAAACACAGGCUGGGGAGUAGAAAUCGGAGGCCGGGAAUGGUUUUUUGCAGUGAAGAACCUGGCUCUGUUAAUACUCACAGCACCAGGUCACAUUAUAUUCAACAGGUAUGUGUGGAGUUACACCACCAAACACACAGACGCGUCGCCGAUGCUGACCGUACCACUUAGCUUUGCAGCCGUGGUAAUAACAGACGUGUUCCAAGUUCGGCUUCUUGGAGUUUUAGGCGUUAUUUACUCUGCGGCUCAGUAUGUGAUAUCUAGGCAGCAAUAUAUGAAAGGACUGAGGUAUAUUUAGACAGUCUUAGGAUUAGUAUGUUUGGACCCUUUUUUUGUAACAGAAUUUGUGAAACAAUGAUUACAUUUCCCCGUUUUGUUUCUCAGUGGAUGCGUUGAAAAUUGCUAAAAGAUACAUUUCCAGGACUUAUUUUAUGGUCUUCUUAACAAUCCCGUUAAGCGGAUUAAACAAUAACAAAAUAGGAUGACACAGUUACUACCGUCUUUCCAAAAAAGAAUGAUAAGCAGAACAGGACACAGAAAUGGGGUCUUUAAAGAAGUGCUCUGCUUUUGUCUUCUUCAGACUCAACAGCUCUGUAUUUGUACCUAUGAGCCGACCAAAGGAAAACACAGAAAUUCAAAAAGCUUAGAAGCGUGAGCAGCCAGUACAAACAGUCAAAUCUCCCAGUGUUGAUGUUCUGCGACAACCACGAUUUCCCAUCUGAGUCUCGAGUCGCGGCCUUGACGAUAUUGUUCAAAAUAGUGGCAGCAAAACACCCUAACCCGCCUGCUAAAGCAGCGUAAGCCGAACCAAUACUCUUCAUAGCAUCUGGAGCUUCUUCAUAAAGGAACUCCAAUAGGCCUACGAUGCAGAAAACCUCUGCGACUCCGAUGAGACAGUACUGGAUUAAUAACCAGUACGCGGUUAGAUCAGGCAUUUGGGUCAAAAAGUUGAACUCGAAACCAUGUUGUAUCGCGUAAUGUCUCCUGUAGUUCUCGAAUAGCCCAGCCCAAGCUACUGAUAUGAUAGAAACUGCUAGCCCUAUGCCCACCCUUUGAAGUUGGGAAGCACCGUGGGGAUUGCCAGUGAUCCUUCUGGUGAUAGGGACGAAUACAGAGUAAUAUAAAGAGAGAAUGAGGAAGAUGCUGAGGCCUGGGAAGACAGGCAUGCACGUCACUGGAAGCUUGAGGUGUUGAAUGUGUGUAUUUAGUGUGUAAGCUUGUUGCACUGAGAGUGUAAGAUACUCUGUGAGGACAAGACUCAACAUUACAGUGCAUGCAGGGAUUGGAAUCAAUCUGAUCAGAAUCUUCACUUCCUCCACUUGUGUUACUGUGCAUAGCUUCCAUGGAGAUGGUUCUAAUCCGUCUUCUUUUAACUGAAGUGCCGCCUUGUCUAACCAUCUGCAUAUGAAAUCCAUACAAACUGAUCAAUACAAGAUUCAGUUUUGUUUUGCUUACUAGUUACAAACUGAAAAUCUGACAAAUCAAACAGACGGCCAGUUAUAAGAUUAUUCCCUUUAGGUGUAGUGUAUACGCAAAGCAACAAGACUUACAUAAAAUCAUCGGAAUGAGGGAUUUUACGACUGCCAUUAAUAGCAGAUUUCAAGCCAGGGACCUCGUACAAACCGAUGAAUUCGCUGCUUGUAAAAGCUGCAUUUCGUUUGCGGAAAGAGGCAACUAAGACCUGAGCGACCCUUGUCAAGGGACUACCACCAGGCAACCUAUGGCGAUAAAGCGGAGUACCAGCAAAGAACAAAGCGUUAGAAAUCCCCAUAGCCAUGGCCAAAGUGCCAAAGGCCAUACCCCAACCAAGUUCCAUUUGAACAUACACCACCAAAGUGAAGGCAAUGAUUGCGCCUAAGGUGACCGAUAAAUAGAAGAAGUUGAAGAAACGGUCUAAAUGUGUCUUAUAGUCUUUACUCUUCUCAUCAAACUGGUCUGCACCAAAUGAGGAAACACAUGGCCUUAUACCAGCAGCACCAAAUCCAGUUAUGUAGAGAACUGUGUAGAGAUAAACCAUUUGCCAGGAUUUGGCUGCUUCACAAUUUCCUAAGAGCAAUGAUAACUCCCCACAGUUGCUCUGGUCUGGUACGAACAUCUUCAAACUUGCCCCCAAUGUUAUUCCUAUCAACCCCUUUUCACAGGAAAAAAAAAAACAAGAAUAUGAAAAAUGAAAAACAAAACAGAACAGCAAAAUUAGGAUUGAACAGUUGUUCUAGUACUUACGACAAGAUACAUGGUAGUGAAGAUGGCGAUGGUCCAGUAUCGGCCCAAGUAAGCAUCGGCUAAGAAGCCUCCGAAAACAGAGGAGGCUUGAGAGAUACCGAGGAAGUUGUUGACUGCGUUUGAUGAACUCUCAAAAGGCCUAUGCAUCACGUAGAACAUGAACGCCACCAUGUUCACUGAUAGUCCAAAAUAAGCCAUCCUCUCUGCCAUUUCGUUUCCUAAACAUUCAAACCGAAACUAUAAAUUAAAGCUGCAACUACAACUUAUCUGUACCAUCAUCUUGGAUGUAAGGAAACAAGAAAAAGAAAGUUACCGAAAAUGAAGAGAGCUGCAAUCCAACCACCAGUUUUAGAAAGAUUGGGGAUGGGUUUGCCAUGGAUGUUAACCGGAGUGGUUCCUCCGGUAUAGCCACGACCAAGAGCCAGACGUCUGUUAUCUGAUUCAAUGAAGAAGACACUCAACUGCUUCCUAUGAUGCACAGAGGAGCUAGAACAACCUCCAGGCGUACCGGGGUCGACACUCACCGGGGAUUUGAUCUCCGAAGCAACCAUAAAGUCGAUCUUUGCUUGCUCACAACAAAACCAUAGAAGAACUUGGAAAUCUUUAGCUAGAGUGACCAAAAACAGCAAGAGAGCUUAUAAAGACAAUAAUAAUAAUAAAAAGGGAAUUGUGUAUAAAUAAUUGAAUCAAGUAAAACAAAAGACGUAAGCAGAAAAUGAUGUUGGAGGAUUGGUUAGAGCAGUGUAUAAAUGCAGCAGCUUCUAAUGGGAAGUUGGAAUUAAAUAGACGGGGAAGCUAGCUGGUAAGUGGUAGAUGUAGGACUUAACAUUUAUUGCACGUGGAGUCCCCUUUGAUGUCCACAGUCUUUAAAACGUUGAGCACAGAGGAAUCAUCUUCUUGAUUCAUACUUACAAAAGCAUAUACAUAUCUAUAUAGAUCAUAAAAUGUUUUGAUUCAUUUUUAUAAUCAUCACUCGGUUUUCGUACUUGCAAGACAUAAUAACUCUCACUCACUCAAGGGGAUUUCUACAAUGCGUCACUCCAACUUGUUUUUUCUUUUCUUUUGCAGUCUCCAUUAAUGUUGACCCUGACAUUGAACUGAUGUUGAGAUAGUCAAACAACAGAAGCAAACACUGGUUUGUGUUCAUAUUUGAUAUCUCGAGAAAUUUUAUGUAGUGUAAUCAUAACUAAUCUAUGUUAGGGAUCAUAAUUAUCCUAUACAAGGUUAUACAAAUAGGGAAAAGCUACGUUUGCGAAAUUAAAAUGACCAAUGAGUACACUAUAUUAGUAUAUUCAAUUCAAUGAGUCUACCCCUAUAUACUUUCUUCAAUUUAAAGGAGGAUAUGCUGAUACAACGAAAACAUUGAAAAGUCACCUCAAGACUUAUUUGUAACUAAAAUCCAAUACCCAACUAUCUUUUCUGUUUGAAUCAAAAUCAAACUGAUCUUAUUGUACUAUCAUAUAUAGUAAAGAUGACUUUUAAUCAAAAAUUUUUAGUCCAUGAUUAAAACUUUGUUUACGGACUAUAUAAUUCAAUAGUAUAAGGACAAGCUAACUGUUGCAAGCUUUUUGGAAUCUCCUAAAAAAAACAUGUUUCCCACUUCAGUACAAAUCCUUAACACUGGCAUGCAACAAUUUUGUACUGAGCUCAAUUUACACAACUGUCCCGAUAAAGUGUACACAUCAUAAAUAUAUAUAUGUACGUGAGUGUAGUAGACUGUUGAUGUUUAUAUCAAUUCUGUACAAUUUUGAGGAGUUCAACAUCAAACAGAAGUGUCUUGUCUAUCAGCCCUUGGUUCCUCAGCACAAAAUCUAAUGCACGUUGUCCCUGCGCAACAUAAAAGUAAACAUUACUUUUUUCUUUUUGUCUUUCUUAUACAUAUAUAAGAAACAAACACAAUGGCUCACAGAGAAAGUCAUCGGCCUCGGUCCGCUCUUGUUGUAGUCAUUAUCCGGGUAUCCUAGUUCUGGCGGUACAAUUAUUCUGCAAUACCACACUAAAUUAUUACACCGAUUCAUUCUAACAUCAGACACUUGUGUGAGACUGACAACCCUUCUUCUACAAUUUAUGUUUAUGAUUUAUGAAUGAGACUCAAGAUCCAAGGAAGUAAAAGUUUCUUUGUACUCUAUGAAUUUUCCAAUGAAAAACAGGUAUGGACGAUAUGUAGACUGUAGAGUGAGGAAUAUUAGAAAGAUGUAGAACCUUCUGAUACCACCGAGCGCCAUGCCAGACACGGCCUCCUCGAAAGCAGGUAUCACCUGCAACACCAAAAUCAUGCAGCAUCCAAAAAUAAACAAUUCAUACCCUCAGCAAUAGAGUCCAUUCUUUAAACAGGUACAACCAGCAUAGUAACUAGAAGAACUACAAAUUGAACACACCUCAUUCGAUCCCAACGUAAAUUUGAAAAAUUCCUUAUCAUCCCCCUACAGAUUCACAAACAGAACACACAGAUUAAGAACUGAAUCAUUGUUGCCAAUGAAACAGACAAGAGCCCAAAACGAAGUCAUACCUCAAAAGAACCCCCUUUUGUUUUAUUGCGAGCUUCAAAUAUGCGGCCAUAGUAACCUAUUGUGUAACCAUCCCAGUCAACCUGACAUAGCCAGCUCAAUCUUUUUACAACUCCAAACAAAUUCUGGUCUUUGAAACAUUAUAAGCGAACUCAUAUUCACUUCACCAUGACAAGCAUAAAGAUAAACUGGAGCCCAAGGAUACAAACCAUAGAUAUGUAGAAAACUCCUUACCACAACUCUGUCUCCCUUCUUUGCUUUAGGCCCAGUUCCUACUCGCAAAUCCUGCAUCAUCUUAAAUCUCCAAGUUAAAAGAUCACACCACUUAGUCUAAACUACAGAAGAUACAAAAUUUGGAACUAAAUGAGGGAUGACCUUAUACUGAAGACCAGAUUGUGUCUCAGUGUAAUCUGGAUACUUCAUCUUUGUUUUGCCAUAAUCUUUUCCUUUAAGCGCUGGCACUGUGAGUGCAGACAUAAACACAAAAGAAUGUGGAUUCAGAAUAAAAAGAGAAAUCGUUGAAUUCAGCAAUCAUUAUGAAAAGAUUCAAAAAGCCGUCAAGCAACCAAUGAGAACAAAGUCACGGAUAAAUUCAUUUCAAGAAUUCACGAAAGCACACAUCUUUCUCUCACCACCAAACUCCUAAUAGUGUGAACAACGUCAGAGCAAUCAAACAGCAUUCUAAAUAACAAAUGCCAAUAUCUACAGGUAUUAUCCUCCAAAAGGCACAAAGUACCCUACUGAAUCAGAAUGUAACCAUGAGAAAGAUCCUGUGACCUCAAAAGAAGAGAAUUGAAGUUCUUACUGUCAGCGAAUUGGGAAGCUUCUGCAAAGUCUCCAUCUUUAGAAUCGUAUGCAAAGGCUCCAAUCAACAAACCAACAGAAGAAACCAACAAUUUUCUGCGAUCAAACUCCCCAGAAUUAUGAGAACACCCACAAUUCCCACCUGUUUUUGAAACACAAAAUUAUACUUCAAAUUCACUACAGAGGAGGCAAUUCAAAAUUAAUGAAAGAGAAAGAGGAAAGCAAAGAUUGCAGAAACGAACUGGGAGAGCGAAGAGGAGAGAAGUCAUCUGGUUGGUCGGCUAACCGAGCAGCAACAGUCGUCCGGCACCUCUGAGAAUCAAAAUGACAAAUUUCAGUGAGUAGGAAGAAGGAAGAAAACGAAAACGAAGGAAGAAGGAAGAAGGAAGAAGAAGAGAGAGAUGGUGCGGCGUCGUACGGUGGUGGAGGAAUUGCCGGUGAGAGCUGUUGACUGAGGGAAGCACCCAAAGGAUGAAAUCGACGCCAUUGCAGUGAAAAAUGAAAACCUGAAUUUUGGUACGUUUCGAGAGGGAGGGAUGAGAGAUAAAUGACUCAGCUUUUUCUCGAUUAGAAGAGACUUCUAGUGCUCUUAUAUUAAAGUGCACAAUCUGAUGUAAUAUUACAUGUAAUCCAAAUUCCAUUCAAAAAUGAAUUAUAACAGAACUUUGGUUUAUAUAUGAUAAAGCUGGGAACAAUAUAUGACAUGACUGGAUUAGAUGAGAACAUUAUCUUAACUGAAAUGAAGAAGAAGACAAAGACAGUGCCAAUUGUUUUUAGUGAAAAUGUAACUUACAAAUACCGUAAAAAAAACUAAUUAACAUCCUUUGAAGCAUCCUCAUGCAAGAACAAAGAAGACAGAAGAAGAGCUCACACAAUGUGGAAACAUCAAGCAAAAGCCUUUAUAUAACAACAUUUGACAGCGUAAAGGGUUGAAGAACAAAAGCCAAAGGUUCUUCUUUUAUUUUAUUACCCACCAAAACCCAAAAUGAUGACUCAGGGCUGUUUUUCUUUCCCUCAAUGGCUGGCUAGUUUGAGAGUGUUGGCCUUCUCUUGCAGAGUACCGAGCAGACUCUCGAAACUCUUCUUGAACGAAUCUACUCCUUCAUCUUCCAACUGAUCUCCUACUUUGUUCCAGUCUAUUCCCAGCUUCUCUAGUGCACUGUAAAUCCCUUCUGCUUCUGAUACAUUCGCAUCUAUUGUCCUCUUCACGAUUCCAUGAUCUGCGAAUGCUUCCAGGGCUUGAUCCGGCAUGGUUGACACCUAUAUUCACACCCCAAACACACCAAAACGCUUGGUUACAUAAUCCAAAGCUUAUCAAUAUACUUCCACUACAGCCUUUUGAUCUUCAACAUAGACUUACUAUUGGGCAGUGAAACAUGAGAUACUCAAUAAACAAACCAAAAAAUGACUUACGGUGUCAGGUCCGAUGAGAGGAGCAACAUAUAAGGUGUCGGAAUAAGCUGGGUUCUUAACACUUGUCGAUGCCCAGAGAAGCCUCUGCUUCUUGGCACCUUUCUUAACUAAAGCUUCCCAUCUUGGGCCUGAAAAUUUCUUCUGGUACAGCUUGUAUGCUAAUGCAGCUUGAGCCACAGCCGCCUGCAAGAGUAAACAUAUAUGUAUCAUAAACUCAUACUCGAUAUUCACAGGCUGGUGUAUGAUUCUCAGCGAUGAAUAGAGCGUUACCUUGCCACGGAGAUCUAGGGCUUCUGGCGUACCAAUUUGCUCAAGCAUCUUGUCCAUGAGAGUAUCCACCCGACUGACAAAGAAGGAAGCAACACUGGUAACUCUCGAGAGGUCAUCAAGUCCAGACGCCUCGAGGCCAUCCAAAUAUGCAUCGAUCACUGCUUCAUAUCUGGCGAUUGAGAAUAUAAGCUGAAACAGAAGAGAACAAAUGAGAAAAUAUAUGGAGAAAGCAACAUCAGUGCAUCUACCAAAUCAAAUUCAUUCAACACCCUUGAACUAAUCUAGUUUCAGGUUUAAACCCGCCCAAUAAAAACAUGAAUAAUGAUACAUUCAAGGAUAACAUACCGUGACAUUGACACUUAUUCCCGAUGCAAUGACAUCCCUGAUGGAAGGAAUACAUGGAGCAGUAGCAGGAAUUUUAAUGUAGACGUUACGACGGUCCACAACCUUUUGAAGAUAUUUAGCAGCUUCAACAGUCCCUUGGGUAUCAUCAGCAAGCCUAGGUGAAACUUCAACAGAGACAUAGCCAUCCGCACCAUCUGUCUGAUCAUAGAUUGACUCAAAAAGUUUGCACGCAUCCUGAAUAUCCUUCACAACAAGUUCCCAAUACGCGCUUUCGAUGUCCUUUCCGGAUUCCACAAGUGUCCUAAUAGAGUAUCAUCCAAAAAUCAAGAUAGAACAAAACAUCUGUUAAAGACACCAUGAACAGAUCAUCCAACUUUAUUAGAAUGAACUACAGGUCAAGACAAUCACAAAAUAUGCAGCCCUAUACUAACCUGAACUGAUCAUUAUAAGCAUUUGAAGUGGAAAUGGCUUUCUGGAAGAUCUGCAAAGGUUUGAACAAUAAAGGAGUAAAGACAAAUGCAAAACCACGGAGUUAAAAGCAAAGCCAAACACACACGAGAGAUUAAAUAAAAAUUACAGCAGGGUUGCUAGUAACGCCUCUAACACCACGAGCAAUCAACGGGAGAAGAUCUGUGACUGGACGGCACAGAUUAUCAUACCAAGGACUCUGACCUUCCUUCUCGUAUAGAUCGUGAAGGGUCGUUCUUUUUCCAGCAGUUCCAUUUCCACCAGAGACUGAACACUUCACACUGAAAUCAACACCAAAGGAAACAGAACGAAAUCAGAUUUCCACCAACCAAAAAAGAGGAACUUUAAGUAUAUUAGCCUACACCAUGAGAUUCGAGAUACGUUCCCAGCUAAAAAGGGAUCAUUUUUGGUGAAACCCAAGAGCUAGAGCAAAAAACACAAGCAGUAGACUUACAAGAGGGAAGGUCUGGAUUGUUGAUUAUAACGAAGGGAAAGGUGAGAAGAUGAAAGCUUUGCGUUCAAAGUGCGGAAACUGAUGGAGGAUCUGGGCAAGACAGAAGCUGAAUAUGAAGAAGAGGAAGAUUUGGAGUCGACACAAGAGGCACGGGUGAGAUUAGCGAGGUUCGAAAUGGUUGCCAUUUUUUUUGUUUGGGUCGGGGGAAAUAUGAAAGAGCUUUUCUUGGUUUGAUCGAUCAGAAUAUAAAAACAAAGAAGGGGAAAAAGAAUGGGGUUGGUGAGAGUAUUUUUGAGUUAGGUCGGGAACGCAAAAGACGAACUAAGGCAUUCAUACGACUAUCUCAUGAUGGCGAUAUAUAUAAUGCUACUAGUUGACCAUUUUCUGUCAUUUUUCCAUAUACUUUUGUUUCUAUACAGUUUAAUCCAAAUACUGUAUGUAGUAUAUCCCUAACACAAUAAAUAGUUAUAUACUAGAUUGCAAAUCUGACCUGUUUGUCGAAAAAUAUAACAUUGUAAUGUGGUAAUAAAAAUAUUAGAUCAUUGUGAUUUCAACACCACAUUAAUCAGAGUUUGAAAUUAGAUAACAGCUGGACUGAUGUAUAAUGAAUAAAAUAAUAAGUGUUGAGAGCGGUUGCCUUAUGAUAAACACGAGAGGUUGCUUAGACAAGACCCCUGGCUUGUAAUUAGCAACCAGCAAGUAUGUAAUGGCCGUUGUUAGGUCGCAAGGGUCGGAAAAAGUCACUUCCGUAUCUCUAAAGGAAAACAAUCUUUAUUUGGGUGACACAUCUUCAACGUCCACAAUGGUUUACCCAAAUCAAAGUUUGGUCUUUGUGUGUGCAGCCAGGGUAGCUGACUACUAGGGUAGGGCUGGGGUUGCUGCUACGGCUGGUACUGGUAGGAUCCUAAUUGUUAAAAAGGUCAAACAAUUUUUCUUAGCCAUCUUUAAGAAAGAAAAAAAGAGAAAAAAGAUUAAUCUGAAUAAAAAUAAUUUAUUUUAUCCUAUGUAUAUGCUUUUGUGUUCAUAACCAAAUAUAGAAAAAAUCUAGCUAUGUACCUUUUUCAUGACUGACAAUUUAUUCACGGGAUUUGCCUUACGAAUACAGUUUGUAGAUAAGCUCAUACCUGUAGACUUUUUUUUUUGGUUUUAAUGUUAAGAUCAUAACUGUAGACUUUAUCAGCAGUUUUGGGCUAUGUAUGCAUAGCUUUGCUAUAACAUUUUUAGUGAGAACAUUGAGAUUUAACUGGUAUUCAAAUGUAAAUACAAAUCUUAAAAUUGGUGAUGAAGCCUAGAAUCUUGAGGUACCAAAGGAGUCUCUAUCAUACAUCGGACAAUAAACACAGACUACGAACAUAGUCUUUCAGGAGCAAUAGAUAAUCAAAGCUUGGGUAUACGUUCAACAAAUAUCACAUGUUUGUAUUAUUCAGGAAAAACAAGACAAGUCUUGCCCUCAAAAUGCCGGAUUCCGGAAUAUAAAAACCAAAAAAAAAAACAGAUGAAGUUCAUUGAGACUCAGACACUGACUGACGUGAUUUAUUUAAUCAACCAAUGAGUAACUUAUUCUCUUCCAGGAAGCUAUAGGUUGGUACUUCCAAGUUGUAUGGUGCAGGACCUUUCCGAAUUCUUCCAGAGAUAUCGUAAUGCGAACCAUGACACGGACAAAACCAACCUCCAUAAUCACCAGCAUUAGGCAAGGGGAUGCACCCUAAAUGAGUGCAAACUCCAACCACGACUAACCAUUCUGGGUUCUUGACCCUAACAGAGUCUUCUUGCGGGUCCCUUAGGGAUCCAAUAUCCACGCUAUUGGCCAGCUUGAUGUCAUCUUCUGUUCUUCGCCUGAUGAAGACGGGCUUUCCACGCCACUUAACUGUAACUGUAGUUCCUGGCUCGAUGCUACCAAGGUCAACCUCGAGGGAUGCAAGGGCCAGGACAUCUUUACUUGCAGACAUGCUCACAACAAGCUUCAGAACAAGAAGGCGGAUAACAGAGGCAUAAACAAACCUCCCACCCGACAAGACAAAAUAGGCGAAUGCACGCUUGCUAGGAUCACCAGGUGGGUAACGCUCAUGGUUAUGGUCAUCAUACACAAUCUUUGAGUUAGGUGUUUUGACAGCUUCCACGGUGGCUGGGACUUCCGAACCAAACCCUAUCUCAUUUCCUUGAGCAAGGACUUGGGAAGAGAAACCUGCAAAUAGAAUGUAUUAAGCUCACUACCACUGGAAAUUAGUGUGAAACACAAUUACAUAAACACAGAAUCCAUGAGGUAUGAGAUGCAGGAGUAUGAGAAAUUCAUCCAAGAAAAUAAUACUCAUCAACCCAAAACUCAAGAAAACAAAUUCAAUUAUCAAAAUCUUAGAUAUCAGGCAGCCAGUGUUAACCAAACUAAGGAUUACAUCCACCAAGGAUUUACAAGCAGGAAGCUUUCUUCAUCAUACAAAGGAUUAUCUAAGAACUUGUCAAUUCAUAUUUUCGAUUAAUAAACUCAAAUAUCUAUUUCCUUCAGGAUGAAAGAAGUGAUCACAGAAGGAGCUUGCAAACACUAAAAGCAUAAUGGAGAAGCACAACAGACUCAUUCAAACAAUUCUACCAUGAUAUCAAAUUCAGUUGAAAACACAAGAAAACUCCAAAGCUAAGAUUGCAAAUAGCUCUUUCGCUUAACAAAACAUAAUUACAAGGGUGCAAGUUCCUCCACAUACCUUUACAGACAUAGUAUACAGUUAACACAUCAACGUCCCUAAUAAUGAAGAAUACAAUGACACACAAAAUAAAAAAUAUAAGAAAUGAAGAUGCCAAAGUGAAUCACACUAACGCAUACCAAGGUACAAACAUGAAGACAAUUGGGAAGCUUUUCACGGCAAACAAAGGAGAAUCUCGGAACUGGGCAAUUUAUAUCCGAUCAAUCUAACUAAAAUGAUCAUUUCCAUCUGGACAAAGAUGUAAUCAUUAAAGGCAUAACCAUUCCAGUAAGGAGAAAUGGUAAAUCAAGCUAUUACACACCGUCUAGUUCACGAAAUUCAAAUGAGAUAUCACGUUUGUUCGCACGGAUCAUCGCCCAGAUAAAAUAAUAGUAAUCUCAUACAAGCUAAAAGAAAUGAUUUUUAUUUUCUAAUGUUGAAUCAUUCGAUCAAUGAAUCUGUAAACAGCAUCAGAAAUGAAAAUCAAUCAAUCUACGAGAAAGUGUUGUAGAUUAGCAGACCUCUUAUAAGGCUCCGUUGGUAAGAACUGAAAGAUGAGAGAUCUGCAGAAGAGACGGAUCUGGGCGCUGACGCGGAGUCGCCUCCAUCGGAAAGGGUGUGGUCACGGGAGACGACGAAGGAGGUCGCAGUCGAAGAUCUCUGCGAAACAGAUAAAAGCCUCCUCCCUGCAACUCGCAGCAUCUCUGCUCAAUGGGUAAUGGCCGAAUCUAGGGUUUCGCUCAGAGCAAGAAGAACACAAUCCUCAGGUUAGGAACGGCCGAUGCUAACAGAAGAAUAGUCCCUUUAAAAUUGUCUUCGAGAAAAGGUCAAUUUGUUUUUCUGUUUUUUUUUUUGCUUCCUAAUUACCUUUUAAUUUAUAUUUAUAGAUAUUAAAACAUACUUACAUGAUUUUAAUGGAAUUUUGUUUGUUUUACCAUAUAGUUUAGUUCAAAAUAAUAUAAUAAUGGGCACAGGGAUAAUAUGUGACAUAAAUAUAUAAAUUUCAGUAUAAUAAUAAAAGUAGAUAAAAGACAAAAUAAUAAUUUUUGAAAAACAGACUAAUCCUUUUUUUUUUGGUUGGAAACUAUACUACGUAAUUGCUAUUCUGCAAAUCUGUAGUAUGUUGCGACGAUGAAGUUGAUUUGAAUAUUUUUAAGAGAGCCGUGUCUACAGUGACCCACUCACCAGGUUCUUCGCGUUCUCUCAAACGAGAGGUCAAGGUAAGUAGGACAUUCUUUAACGUGCAGUCUGUAGUCAUACUCAUAGGUCACACCACUCACCAGCGACAAUAUAAACAGCCUCGAACAAAAGGAGGACAUCAUUAUCGCUCAUAGAAGUUGUAAACUUGUAAUCAUGGAUAACCAACUAAACGGGCAAAUGAGGCUAAGAUACAAUCAGAAUUCAGAAGAAUGAUGCCAUUCAUCAAAGAAGUUGAGAUAUUUGUUGGAUUAGGAGCCUUCUCACUCUGGAAAUGGGAGAAAGUUUACGGCUUACUUUGAAGUUUCUUCGAAAUGUCAUCUCCAUGAAAGAUUGAAAACGUUCACAAACACCUUCAACCAUAACAAGUGUCUGCGGCUAGAAACUUAAGGUAUGAAAGGAAACUCUCUUACAUACGAUAUAAAUACUGCUAGAUAAGAAAAAUAGGCAUGAUACUAUUCAAAAAUUCUUUUCAAAUAAUAGACAGAGACUAUGAACAAUGUCUUUCACCAGAUGGGACAGAUAGAGAUACUAAGUCAUACAAAUGACAAGUUUGUAUUAUUCAGCAAAACAAGACAAUCUUGCUGAGAGACCAGUAGUGUGAGGAAAGCGAACUUGCACGCUAAAAUGCCGGGAAAAUAUCAAAACAAAAACAUAUUAAGAUCAUUCAGAC
Molecule: long non-coding RNA, 64720 nt
Filed under: Capsella rubella
Lineage: Eukaryota; Viridiplantae; Streptophyta; Magnoliopsida; Brassicales; Brassicaceae
Description: long non-coding RNA (CRUB_LNC001945)
Source: RNAcentral